CAACUUCACAAUCCGAGUUGUAGAUCCUGGCAUUCGCAACAAUGAUUUCUCCUCCAUCCCCCGUUAUUCGCUUUCCAUUUACAACUUAACUUCUCAUCUUCGAUUAGCAUCAAGUACAACACCUAUAACUUUCUUCAAGUGUGCAAAAGCAGUGAACUCGUCUGUGAUGAGAACAUAUAAUUAUGUCAAGCAUGGGAAUAUAACGGCAUCAAAUAUGGAGGACGGGUGCAGAAUAGAGUGGACGACUUUGAUGAGUAAGUCGUUCUUGUACGAAAAGGAGAGAAACUUUUCUUAUCAUGACAUACACAGCGCACUGGGGUAUGGCUUUGAGCUUCAAUUCCGAUUUCUCAAGACCCGCCGCAGAUUCGGUUUGUGAAUUACUUGCUAUAUUCCAAGUCUACAAUUUCUUACUAAAACUUUCUGAAUUUCUCCAAAUGUCACGUGUUUAAAUCUAUUAUCUAUGACUUUUGUUACACUUUAUUCCUCAUUUUCAAUCAUUUGUUUUGUUUAGUUUUAAUUGAAAUAAGGCGAUACAGGGCUGAAAAUGAGAAAGACAUAAGAAGAAAAUACGUCAAAUAUUCUUUGAAAAUAAAAUUCUCAAAAUUUUAAAUAGUUUUAUUACUUGUAGUAUUUUGUCUGGCUAAUUUAAAUUCCCUUCGCUCUUCUUCACAUUCCUCAUAUGAUGUAGUCUUCAAACUUAUUGUCAAGCCUUUGAUUUUGGUCACUUUUUCUUGUAUCUCUUGCAGUUAUAUACAAUUGGAAGAUACUCGGUAAGAGUUCGCAUAUUUCUUUAGUGAAGAAUUGUAUUUCCUAUCAGUCAAUCGAAAAAACAUAUGGAAGCAAAGAGUAAGGUUUUUAAUAUAUUAUAUCCAAUAAAGCAUGUCAUUUGUGAUUCUUUUUGUGAUGUUGCUUUGCAGGAACAUAUUUCCUAAUAAAAUCUAUAUUUGGGGUUCCAUUUCUGGCUGCUUUUCUAAUCUACAAACGGCGAAGAAUGCAUUUGUCAAUGUAUAGCAGCAUAGAAGAUUUCCUGCAAAGUGAUAACAACCUCAUUCCGAUAAGGUACUCUUACUCAGAUAUUAAAAAGAUGACCAGUAGAUUCAAUGAGAAGUUGGGUGAAGGAGGUUAUGGCUCUGUAUUUAAAGGAAAGUUACGAAGUGGUCGAUUUGUAGCAGUUAAAAUGUUGGAGAAGCCUAAAGCUAAUGGACAAGAUUUCAUAAGUGAGGUAGCUACUAUUGGGAGGAUUCACCAUUUUAAUAUGGUUCAACUUGUUGGUUAUUGUGUUGAGGGAUCAAAGCGUGCCUUAAUUUAUAACUUCAUGCCAAAUGGAUCUCUUGAUAAAUACAUUUAUUGCAAAGAAGGAAGCAACCCCUUAAGUUGCAGGAAAAUGUAUGAGAUUUCUCUUGGAGUGGCUCAAGGGAUCGAAUAUCUACAUCAAGGUUGUGACAUGCAAAUUCUACAUUUUGACAUCAAGCCUCACAAUAUUCUUCUUGAUGAGAAUUUCAUCCCAAAGAUUUCUGACUUUGGGCUUGCAAAGCUAUAUCCGGUAGGAAAUACCAUUGUCUCUUUGACAGCAGCAAGAGGAACAAUGGGAUACAUGGCUCCUGAGUUGUUCUACAAAAAUAUUGGAGGCGUCUCAUACAAAGCUGAUGUCUACAGUUUUGGAAUGUUGUUGAUGGAAAUGGCAAGUAGAAGGAAGAAUUUGAACACAUCCAUAGAGCAUUCAAGCCAAAUUUAUUUUCCUCUUUGGGUCUCAAACCAAUUUUGCAUGGGCAAAGAGUUUGAGAUGGAUGAUGCUACAGAAGAGGAAAAGAAAAUAAUAAAAAAGAUGAUUAUAGCUGCUUUAUGGUGUAUACAAUUGAAGCCAAGCGAUCGUCCUUCGAUGAACAAAGUUAUAGAGAUGCUUGAGGGAGAGGUUGAAUGCUUGCAACUCCCUCCCAAGCUUCUUUUAUGUCCACAACAAGAGAUGCCCAGAGACAAUCUUCAUGGUAAUUCGAAUCCAAUGUGUUCUAACACAGAGCUAACAUGUAGUACUCUGUCAGCUAGGUGAUGAGUAGGACUCAACUAGAGUUUCAACUUUAAUUUCAGUUUUAUUAUUAUUUACGCUAUAAGAAAAAUAUAUGGGUUCAAGUUGCAUACAUUAAAACUACGUUUUUAUUUUGAACUAGUACUUGUGUGGUUUUGCUCCUCUGCCACCACAAGCAUCGCCCUCGUUGUCAUAAUCACUACCACCGCCACUGAGUCAUAUCUCAUAUAUUGAUUUUUUUUUUUUUUUUAAGGAAAAUGCUAAGGAGAUCAACUCUAGUAAAAUUUACAUGUAACCGGUAUAAUACAAUUUUGCUAUCCUGAACUAAUAACACAAUGAUACGUGGAAAAGUUAUCAUAUAUGCCAUUGCGUUAUUAGUUGGGAAUAGCAAAAAGUGUUAUCCCGUUACAUGACAGUUUCCCCUUCAUCUUUAGAGACCAACUUAUGUACCAUCUCUCUAAUAGAGAUGGGAUCUAUGGUAUUAGUGGGCCUUACCUUUAUUACAGAGAUGGUACACAAGUUGAUGAUGUCGCCUUAGCAUGACCCUUUAUUUUUUAUAUAAAUAAAAUUUAAAUAUUGUAUUUAAAUGUCACUUAUGAUUGAAAAAGAAUCUUGAGCGACAGCCAUUGGCCCCCACUUCAAUUUUCUGAAGAUGGAAUUGGUCAUUGCACCAAUGAUCACAUGGAAGAAAGUCAUUAGCAAUACGCAAAUUGAAAAAGAUAGAUCAGCAAAUGCUCGAGGCCAAUAAGUAGUGACAAUAAAGCAACACACAAAAUGCAAAGGGCGGCAAUACAAAUGCAAGGGGCUGCUUCAUCAAAGUGAGUGAAUUGAAGGAGUGUCUUAAAAUCUCUCGUAAUAGCAAUUGCUGUUUCUCUUGUUCUUGGUCUCAGGUUUUGCCUUUUUCUUGUUUCUCAAUUAAUCUACGAAUCUACUACAGCUAAGCACAACAACGGCAAUGGAAAGUGCAUCCCGUCUUCCUGCGGUGGCAUCCACAAUAUAACUUUCUUCAAGCGUGCAAAGGCAGUGAUCUCAUCAUCUAUGUAUAAGGACACUACUGUUAUUUCGGGCACUAAUUGUAUUUGAUGUUGGUUCUCUGAAUCUUCAAGCAUGUGCUUUGUAGCGAUUCCUUCAAGCAACUAAUGAGUAAGAUAUUUUCACAGCAAUAAGCAUGUGCUCUGUUGGCAAUGGCAGAUUAAUCUUUGUCAAUCUUUUACAAUAAAAUAUACCAAAUCAUUUACAAAGAACUUGGAGGAGGCUAUAAAAAAAAAAAAAAAGGCAUGUAGAUUAGAGGCUUGACAUUUUAUUGUUUUAAAUUCACAGGUUGUUCGCUCUAAUUUUUUAUUGAACUUGGAGUUGGGAGAAAAGAAAAAAAAAAGAAAAAAGAAGAAGCGUUGAUUUAAUAUAGGUGUCCACUUCGAGAGAACUAUUCACAUAGAGAGAAAAAAAAAAAAAGGGAACGUAAACAUAGAAAAACAGAGAAAAAAGAUAGAAGAAAAGAGAGCACAAACUUCACCCCGGCUCAGUAGGCUCAGCUUGGCCCUGUCUGGUGGGUUUGAGAAAGGCUUCGAAUUUUUUGAAAAAAUCCAGCCCAACUCAACCUGUAAUUUUCUCUCUCUUAAUUGAAGCCCGAUCUAACUCGACCUAAAUCUAAUAAAUUUAGGCUGAGCCAACCCGGGGCAUUGAUGAGCCCUAGUUACAAAUCAGGCCAAUAAUACUCCCGAAAGGCUAUAAUGCGGGGUAAGUUUUAAGGAGUUCACUUUAUAGCCAUCAAAUCAAUCAAAGAGCUGUGGACAGUUGAGAUAAAAUUUUACAACCGGGUAGGUGAGGAACCCAAACCCAAAUUUAAUACCUAGCAAGUUUGAAGUUUGAACAAAAACCCAUAGCUUUGAGAAACUGCUAAACUCCUUCGGAAGAAGGCUUAACGAUGGUUGAAAGCAACUUUGUUCUCUAAACCUUGAAAAAGUAGUUACUUUGAGUGGAAGGGGAGAAGGCGUGGAUUCCGAAACUGUGGAACGGGCGAAGCAGUGGAAGGGGAAGGAGCGAAGCUGUAUUCGUUGGAAGUGAUAGGUUCCAUUUGUGGAGCAAAGCUGCACAGACACCCUAUGAUUGUUCAAGAACCAGCAUUUGGUAAGUAAUUUAUUGGAAUUUGAGUUUAGGGUUAGAGUAAUGGUUUUCCCCAAUUUUUACCGUCAAUGGUGUUGGAUUUGGCAUUUCGUGUUUGUGGUUCACUUGCAUGUUAGUUUUUGCUUGGGUAUAUGUAAAAAAAUCAAAUGAAAAUCAUGUCAAUAAUGAAAUGAAUAAGAUAAUGGUGGUGUUGAGUUGGAGGAGGCGCUUGAAACCUUCCACAUUUGAAGCAGUGCAGAGUGCAGAUCAUCUCUCUGGCUCUAGAAUAUAUAUAUAUUUUAAAAUAAAUAUUAUUUCCUUUGUUAGUAACUUUGCCUUUGAAAAAUGAGAACAAAUAAUAAUAAACUCAUGAAUAAAAGUGCAAAGCAUUUUAAAUAAAGGUUGGUCCAUGACCAUAGUGGUUGACUGAAGAAAAAGCUAGAAAGAAAUAAGGAUGUGGCAAUGGUGUAGCAAGCAAAUAGCAGAGUAGAUGCUUUGCUUUGCUUCCUUCCACCAUCUUUCUUAUUUAUUUAUUUAGUUUGUAUUGUGUAUGAAAUGACAAUAAUUGUCAUGUGUGUGAAGUGCAGUGUAACACCCCGACCUCAAAUUUCCCCAAAUUUAACCCUUAUUUAAUUAUUUAAUUAUUUAAGGGUAUUUUAGUCAUAUUUUUAACCGGAGAGAGUUUGGGACCAUGACUUGUAUUUUUGGAUAGGUCGUACUGAGACGAGUUCAUAGACACGUAGUGGGCUUGAAUCGGAGUUGUAACGAGAGAGUUAUGGUCAAAAGAAGCCCAGUGGCACAAUCGUAAAUAUUUCGAAAUGGGAUUUUUUAUAAAAACUCAGAUUUUUCUCUCUCUCUCUCCUCGUAACUCCGGCCACCGGCCGCGGCUGCGGACGGGGCCGGUGUCAAAAGAACCGGCUUGACCUCGGCGUCAAGACCCAACCCAUCCCCGCCAUUGGCCGCCGCUCCAGCCGCCGGAAAAUGGCGAUUUUUGCCCGGAUGUCGCCGGAACUUCAACGCCGUCGAUCUCCCUCCUCCGGCCACUAUUUCCGUCGGCCCAGGUAUGGAUCUUGAACCUCUCGAGCUGUUCUUGCUGCCUGUUGGUUGGGUUUUGAUCGAUUCAAUCUCUAGAUCACUCGAUUUUCGAAUUGAAAAUAGGCCGAAAAUUCGGCCGCCGUGAUCGGCCAUUUCCGGCCACUUUUUGGGGUUGUUCCAAGAACAAAAGUGGCUCCAAAUAGGGUGUUAUACCUAGGGUAGGAGUUUGGAGCCGUGGUUUUGAGAUUUUCCGGCGAAGCGUUAUCGCUUUGGGCACCCACGCGCUGCCGGCGCGUGCGGCGGCGCGUGGGCACUGUAGAAAAAUAUCACUGUGUUCCGAUGAGAUCCUUAGGUUGUCACGAGUGUGUAGGAUUUCGCGGAUCUCAAUUCGGACGUCGUUUGACUAUCGAACGGAUAAUCGCAUAGUAUGCGUUAUCCGGGUUCGAUAGGUUGGGACCGUCGGAUGGUCCCAAAUUUAAUAUAUGUUAAUCUAGGUAAUUCUAGGAUCGUGUAGGAAUUCACGGAUCGUGAAUCGGAGCCCCGAAUGUUCCGAAUAAUAAUUUUAAGUUUAUAUUUUAUAUUAACCGUCGGAUGGUGCGAUCGUGAGAAAUCCGACCGUCCGAUCUGAACCAAACUCACAGGACAAGUGCCCUAUACCUGGUAGAACCCAUAGAGACUUUCGGAUCGGAAAUUGGAGGUCGUGGGUUCUGCAGGUCCGUUUGACCAGGGUUAGAGUAGUUUGACCCUUGGUUGACCGUGAGUCUCCCGGAGUAAUCUUACCUUUCCAGGGAAGAUUAUCGGGUGCUAGAUGAUUGUUGAGGGUUACACAACAUUAGAAUUAAUUUAUAUAAUUAUAAUUAUAUAUAGUUGUACAAGGGUACAACAGAGUCUAGAAUGUCAGUUUGGAGUGCUAUACGCACUACUUUAAGUACCUCCCCGGAUUUUGGAUUCACUACAAGUACCACCAAGUGAAAGUUAGGUCCCACGUGGCGUAGGUUAUCCGGCGUAGGGACAGGCCCCAUACGUGGCGUUGGUUGUACCGGCGUAUGGGGAGAUAUGUGAUAUGCUGUUCAGGUCUCACGUGGCGUAGGUUAUCCGGCGUUGAGACAGGCCCCAUACGUGGCGUUGGUUGUACCGGCGUAUGGGGAGCUAUUGUGAUAUUGUGUUGAGGUCGCACGUGGCGUAGGUUAUCCGGCGUGUCGACAGACCCCAUACGUGGCGUUGGUUGUACCGGCUUAUGGGGAGAUUUGUGAUAUGAUGUUGAGGUCCCGCGUGGCGUAGGUUAUCCGGCGUUGGGACAGGCCCCAUACGUGGCGUUGGUUGUACCGGCGUAUGGGGAGAUAUGUGAUAUGAUGUGCAGGUCUCGCGUGGCGUAGGUUAUCCGGCGUUGAGACAGACCCCAUACGUGGCGUUGGUUGUACCGGCGUAUGGGGAGAUAUUAUGAUAGUAUGGCAUGGUCGCACGUGGUGUAGGUUAUCCGGCGUGUUGACAGGCCCCAUACGUGGCGUUGGUUGUACCGGCGUAUGGGGAGAUUAUUUGAAAUACAGAGAAAUGAAAUAAGGUAUCGCCCAAGUGUGGAACUGGGUUUUAAUGGAAGAACUACGUGUGGCUUGAUCCCUCAAGGAGGGUACGUAGGCAGCCUAAGGUUAUUAGGUGCAGCCGCAGACUAAAUGUUAGACACGUUGUUUUAGAGAGAUUGGUUCGGACCUUGUUGUUGGUCCUGAAAUUUAGGUGAAAAUGUGAUUGUGUUAGGAGGCUAAAACCUCAUAUAUUGUAAUGUGAAGGGUUAAGUGAUGCAUGUUGAAAUUUAAUAGUCAUAAUUUAUAUUUGAAUUUAGUGUUUGUCUUGUUUAAGGCAUGAAUUGUUUUAUUAGCGUAUUUGGUAGUUUGUUGAGAAUUAUUGGAAGGCCGAAGGCCAUUUAUGUGAAUUUGCAUGAGAUUAUAUUGUGCAUGCUGCCCGUUGGUGAUAUUAAAUGCGUUUUUAUGCAGGUUGAAAUUUUGGGAAAUGUCCAAUUUAUAGGGGAGAUUCUGCCGAAAUUUCGGCAGAAAGUCUCGGUUUUUAGUAAGUAGGCCUGGCAUCGGGGUGAUGUCAGGAAUUCCAAAGGGUUCGCCUCGGGUUUUGAGAAAAUUCGGGGCGGGUCCUUUCAUGCAAAACAUGCCCAAAUUGCACUCACUUUCACUCAUGAAUCAACCAUUGAUUGGAGUUUGGGUCCAUAAAUAAAACACAUGCUAUUGCUUGUAAUUCACAGAAUCAUUGCAUUAACAGGUAUUUGCACAAAAAUUGUCAUAUUGCUUUCAUGAUGUUAAAGCCUAUGAGAUUUGUAAUGUGUCUAGUUAACUAGUUGUGUAAAUACCAAUAUGAUUGUGCAAAUACCUGGCAGUAAGUGCAAAUACUAAUAUGAUUGUGCAAAUACCUAGUAGUAUAUGUGCUCACGUUAUUUCAUCUUUUAUUUCAAGAAAUGGAAUCCAACGUGCAGCUGGUAUGGCCAGAAUCAAAGGUAUAUGCAUCACGAGUGAAUAACUGCCCACAUGCAAAUUUAUCCCUAACAAAGUAUCUGAAAAGCUGCGAAAAUUAAGAUGGAAUAGGUAAAGGGAAAAGUAAGGUAACGGGACCAAGCCGGAGAAAUGAGAAGUGCAAGAAGGGUAAGCAUAUUGAAGUGCCAAGGUGUGGCUGGAAUUUUAAAGGUUACACGUAUGCUUUCCAGGUACAUGGUAAUAAUGUUCAUGUCAGUUAUGCUUUGUGAACUUUAAAACUUAAAUAAUGACAUUUAUCCUGUGAAUUGUGUAGAUUUGGAUUUUUGAAUUAAUUCCUACGUUGGUGGACUUGAAUUACUGCAAGGUCGUUGAUCCAACAGUUGUUAAGCAUAUUUUGCGAUGGAGAACUACUACAUCUGUUCCCGAGGUGAGAAAGUUGAACAAUUAUUUUUUCCAGAGCAAAGAGGUUUGGUUUGCAACCCUUGAAACUAUUUAUAAGGUCAAAUGAAAUUAUUAAGUAGAAUGAUUAAAUAUGAAUCUUGUUUGUAUUGGAGUUGGCCACAGAAUCGUCCUGCUUUUGUCUCGUUAGAGUCAAUUCCAUCUUCAUGUGGUGACCUUAAUGAGUUGAACAAGGUGGUAAGCUUGUUGAGGUCCGAGUAGGAUCAAGUAAAGCAGGAAAAGGACCCUCUUGAGUUAAGGGUUAUAAGGAUGGAAAAACUUUUGGACCGUUGUUUAGGUCCUGAGUUUGAGCGGGAAGUAAGGAAGGACCUAGAUUUACUGAAAGAUCGGACGAAUCGUUGUGUUUUUUCACAUCUAUUUAUGGGAUGUGAGGAAAAGGAUGAGAUUGAAGGGGAUGAAGGACCAAGUAAAAGAAAUGAGGGAGAGGAAAAGGAAGAGGAGGGGAUUCAAGCGGGUGAAGUGCAAAGAAAACGAAUUGAGGGAGAGGAAGUGCAAAGAAAAAGAAGUAAGAGAGAGGAAGUGAAAAGAAAAAGCAGUGAGGGAGAGGAAGGGGGAACAAAAAGCAGUGAGGGAGAGGAUCUGCAAAGAAAAAGAAGGGAGGGAGAGGAAGUGUAAAGAAAAAGAAGUGAGGAAGAGGAAGUGCAAAGAAAGGGAUGUGACUCACGGAACACGGCGGGGACAUUAUGUGAGGAAGAGGCGAAUGAAGUUAUUCGGGUUGAUGAUGACAAUGGCAAGAGCACGGCGGGGACAAAUGUUGAGUUUACCGUCAGGGACAUUGCAGCUGUGCUAUCUCAAUUGAAUAUUUGGUUGAAUGAUGAAAGUAAAGCUAUGGAACAAGGGGUCCAAUUACGGAAGAGGAAGAGAAUUAUUUAUAUGUGGAAGAUUACCGAAGCUAGUGAAUUGUUGACAAAAGCUGUUCCAGUGAAAACUUGAAUUUGGAUGCUAGACCUAAUGAAGGCGAUUCCACAUGAUGAUAUGGUGAAGUUGCUGAUUUUUUUUUUUGGAAUAUUCCGCAUGAUGAUAUGGCGAUUCCCUUGUUUUUUGAGAUAGAUGGCAUGAGUGUAUAUAUUUUUGAAAUUUUGUGAUCUAAAACUUUUUUAUAUUCGUAGUUUAGUGAUGGAAUUUGGCCAUGCGGAAGCAGAGAUUGAAUUCUUCGCUUCCCUCGUCAAAGUCGACGGUUGACUAAAAGGAGAUGUAAGUUUAAUUGUUUAAUUGAUUAUGCAUUUCUUUUAAUGUACAUAGUUUAUGGCAUUGGCAACAAAAAUAUGUGCAGCACAUUGAUUUGGGGUUGUAUCUCAUCCGGAAGCGACAACAACAAUUAGAGGCUGUAGAAGUAUCGAACUGGACAAUGACAGAUAUAUUUUUCAUGGUAUGUCAUAGGCCUUGACCAAGUGCAGUUAAUAAUUACAUAUUAUCCAUAUUUGCUUUGUAGAUAUUUAUAGGAUUUUUAGUACCUGCGCAAACAGGGUUAAAAUCACAUAAAAUACUUGCAAGAAUACAAGGCUAUUGUAGUAUAGAUGUUCAUGCAAGGUCGUUCUUCUCAAGGACUACUUAGCAAUUUAUGUAAAAAUGAUUUCCAAUUAAUUACUUAAAAUUAAAAGCUGAGAAGGACGAUUCUGAAAUUGUUUGAUACCAAAAAUAAAUUUUAAACAAAAACAACAAAUACGAUUGAAGGAAAGAGUUUUUAAAGAAAACAAUUUAUAAAAACACUAGGGUUUCACCAUCACCUAGCAAUCUUAUGAAUUUUUACCAAUUACUUAUGAUUUGCAGAUGCCACUUUGAAGGUUAAGUUUUCCUAAUUUAUAUUCUACUUGGAACCUCCAACAUAGAACGUAUAUCCAACAUGCAACCCGUCCGAACGUUCGGAUCAAAUCUAAACAUGAAAGGCUCAUUAAGUUUUGUGAAAACCCUUUGAAAAACCAUGCAACCCUUAAGACGUGGUGUUCGUCUUAAGAGAAAUUACAAUUAUUAAUCACAAGAAGCCAGCAUCAAUUUCAGGGAACCUUACGACCAAAAUUGCAUCCAAUUACUUUUCUAAAGAUCUUAAUGGUGAUUAGGCAUUAAGACAAUUAGAUAGUUUAAAACAGUGAUUAACAAUUCAAAGUAGGCAUGCACUCAAUCAUAAACAAUUAAAUAAAAACUACAUAUUCAUGCUAAGGUUCAAGGCUUCACCCUAGCAAAAGAAAAUUAGUUACACAUAUUCAUAAUUAAAAUCAAAGAAAACAUCAUUCGAAUUAAUAAGAAUGAAAACACCUGAAAGUCGCAGAAACGCAAAACCCUAGCAAUUGCUCCAAAAGCCAAAAAGAAGUCCCUAAAAUUUUCUGUGAAAAGGAGCUUAAAUACCUCCUAAAACCUAGCUGCCCAAUCCCCACAAGGAAAUUAAGUUGAAAUAAAAUAAUACUAGGAAAUAAAGUCCAAAUUGGAUUAGGAGAAUCUGCCCACAAUCUGCCCAGCCACGUUUUGGCCUCAAAUCUCCUCCAAAUCUGACCCAAGAUAGCUUGUUUUAAAGAUAAAAAUAUUCUGAACACUUCUCUAGAAGGCCACGAACCCAUCCGAGGUCAUCUUGGGCUCCAACAAUGCCAUAAAGGCCCAAAACGUCACCGUUCCAGCACCGCGCACUGCUAUUUUAUUUUAUUGCCAGAAAAUAACCGCUUAGUAGAAAACUCUGAAAUUUUGAUACGAUCAAGCUAAGUGACUCACGAACGUCUUCCAACUAGAAUUACUCCAAAAUUCUUCUAUUUGCUCCAGAGGAAGUCGGAAGUCCUAUAUUGAAAAUAUAAUUCAAAGUAUCAAAAUUCUUCCAAAAUAUUAACCAAAAUAUACUAAGGAUGGGGUUAAAUAUAAAAUAUAAAAUAUACCCAUCGGAGAUGUUUACAACUUUUAUUUUCUAUUUCACAUAAUCACAUUCAUACUUGUUUUGUUGAUAAUAAAAGAAAAAAAGAGCAGUUUGGGUGGAAAAUUAGAAACAGUUUACUGAACGUUGUCAAUGGCAAGGUUCCGGCGUGUGGGAUGGGUUGGGAGUACAAGUAUAAGGUGUAUGCCCCUUGUAUGUUCACGAAGCAUAAGCAUUGGGUGGCUCUAAUGAUUGAUCUGGUUAAUUGUGAAAUCAUAGUGUACGAUUCAAUGGUUUCACUUAUUCCAGAUGAGAUCUUAAAGGAAGAACUUGCCCCGCUUUCAAUUACGAUUCCAAAUCUUCUCAACGCCAUGGACUUUUAUGAAGAAGGCUUUUACUCAAAUGAUUGUAGCCGAGAUUGGUGGUGUUCGUGGCCAAUAGAAUUUAUGGAUGUUCCACAGCAGUCUAAUGAGUGAGCACAAUUGUUAAUUUAAUUUUAUUACUUUAAAUUGUCAAUUACGCUGGAAUGUUAUUACUUUAAUUGAUUGGGUUCAUGUUUUUCUUUAGAGGCGAUUCUGGCAUGUUCGUGUUGAAGUACAUUAAGCUUCUGAGCGCUGAAAUUCCUUUAACUACUCGCACCUCGCAGAACAUGCCAUUUUUCCUGUUGAAGUUGGCUGCAGAGAUAUCACGGGGAGAUGCUUACAUGCCAUGAUAUUGGUUGAAAUUAGUUCAGGUACAUGAUGACAAAAUUGCUUUUGGGAAUCUCCAAUUUGAAACAUAUCUAAAUACACAAUACAAACCCACGAGUCCUUUUCCAAUUCUACCUUUGCUCCUCAAUUCUUCUUCCUCUUUCUCAAUCUUUGACUAUUUUUGUACAUAAUUUUAGGUUUAAGUUAUUGAACAAUAACAAUUAGAAUCAAAAUAGUGGCAAAUAUUAUAGCGGAUGCAUGUUUUCAUUUUGAUUAGUGUGAUACUAUGUUUCCUAAGCAUCUCAUAUUGGGCUAAAUUUAUAUGGUAGUUGGAUGUAGAGCAUAGAAAUAAAAAUGAUGAAAAAUGAAGAGUAGAGGAAGAAAAAUGAAGAAUCUGAAAUGUAGAUGCAGAGGCUUGGUGAGAAGCAAAGUAAAUGGAUCUGUUAAUCUAUCACACGUGGGCAAUUUAAAUGGAUCCGCAGAUGCGUUUUGGAAGUUAGGCACAUACAUAGCCGUCCCCAUACAUAGAAUGUGCAUCUGUAGUUUAGAUUUAAUGAAACAAGCAUCUGUGUAAUAUUGGCCUAUUCAUUCAUGACAUUUACAUAACCUUAAUCAAACUGCAUUCAAUUGGGAUUUUAAAACUGCAUAUGUGAAUGGGGACUGAUGGCUUUUUAAGUGUAUUACAUAAUUGUAAAGUGAUAUGUCAUGAUUUUUCCAAGCCAUCAUUCCAAAUAUUAGAUCCCAAUCUUCAAGCCAUUCAACAUGGCUUGGCUUAAUUGAAAUGGCUUGUAUCUUAAUAAGGUAUUUUUUUAAGGGGAAUAGGCGGCUAUGCCCUUGGCUCUAAUGUUUUAUUCAACGAUUCCCUCUUUUAGAAGCACAUUCAAAAAUGUCCCUAGCUGCAAUGCUAUAAAAAGUCCCUAUUGGCCGCGUAUCGCCCCUCGGGUUUGAAUCCCUCUUUCUCCUAUAUAAUCGGUUAAUAAAUUCGUUGCUUUUCUUUAUUAUAUUGGUUUUGCCCGGCUCAGUAGCAUAAAAGUAAUGUAUAUUACUUGUUUGUUGCGUGUAUAUUGCUUAUUUAUUGCAUGUAUAUCGCAUGUUUAUUGCAUUUGAUAUGCUGAGGUCGCACUAUGUGUCCUAUUGCGUUUAUUUUGGCUUUUUUAGUGCAAAAUUCUUGAAAAAGGUAAUAUGACAAGACCUGUCCCGAAUUUCUCGGAAUCCGAGACGAAUUCUGUGGUAUUACCACCAUUGUACCAAUGCCGAGCCCACAUACUAAAGAAACGAGACUUUCAGCCGAAAUUUCGGCAAAGUCUCUCCUGAAAAAUGGACAUUUUCCAAUUUUCUCGACUUGUUAAAAACACAUUAAUAACCCUAACUGGCAGCAUGCACAAGUUAAUAGAGUUCAAAUUUCAAACAAAAUAAAAAAUAAAAUGAAUAAAAGAGUCCUACGAAAGCUCGGGGUUCGAAAGUAGAGAUCUCGGCUCAGCCGAUCGAUUAGAAUAUAGCUACUAUCUGGGGGGCGCAAAACAGAAAAGUGUGAGUGGACAAAAAUAAAGUUCCAUUAGUUGAAAACAAUGUAUAGUAACCCCACCAUUUGGAAAACAAUGCAGAAACAUGCAUUCAAACCAUCGUAGAUAUAUACAUAUAUAUAGCCACAUCAAAACCAUGGUGAAAUCCAACUCUCAUCAAGAUAUCCAAAUACCCAUCUCAUACAAAAUAAUUUUCCCAAACCAUUCUCAAAAUGCGUGCUCGUUGGCACGACGAGCGAGCAAGUGCUUCCUUCCAGGAGGAUGACGGAGUCAGAUUCGGCUCUAACUUCCUUCCAGCUGCUGCAGACAGGAGGUUCUUCUUGAUCUCACACUCUCUCUCUCUCGCUCUGAGUUCGUUGGAGGAAGAAAAGGAAAAAGAAGAUGAAGGUGGUGGGGAGAGGGUUACUUUGGUGCGCGUAAAGAGGAAGGAGAAGAAGGAAAAAUAAUAAAUGAAAAAGAAGAAGGAGGAAGUUGGUAUCUGGGAAACCACAAAUAGCUGCUGGAGCUUAUGAAUUUGAUUUUUGGGUCGGAUUUAAUUAUUCGGCUCAUUCCAGCACUUAUCCAUGGCCCUAAUAAUUAAGGGGGCUCAUGUUGAGGCCCAAAAAAGUCCAUGGUUGGGUCCAAAUAAGUUUUCAGUCCAAUACGAUACUGUAUUAAGAAAAGUCACAUAUCGAAGUACACGAAGGCUCGUCAUAUACAAGUUAUAGUCCACGUGCCAUGCUAAAUAAAUAAUUUUCCAUGCCAAGGACUGAAAUAAUAUUAUAAAACACAAGCCCAUGCUAAACUAAGCACCGUGUCCCUCUUCUAGGACGAUAAAAUUGAAUCACGCCAAGCAACAUGCCACGCCAAGCAAGGAAUUAUUAUUCCGCACCCAAUCACGCCACAAGCUUAAGUGGGCCCUAAGCCACUCAAAUACCCGAGGCUUGCUUCAGUGGGUAGUGGUAUGGAUAGUAACAAAUCGACAUGAGGUCCAUUGAUGAGCCGAGAAAUGGAAGUCUCGGGUUGCUUGGGAGCCUCGGGACUCAAGCCCAUUUCUUAGGCCCAAAUAUAUGGGUGAGCACAUAGGAGGAAAUAGCCCAUUAGCUUAACCAAAUUGGUCCAACACCUCAACAAAAAUAAGCCAAACACUUGUUGAGGUUAGCCCAUUUACUUUGACAAACCAACCCAUUAUCUUAGAAGGCCCACACAAAUAGAAAUGAGAAGCAGCAAAAGCUUCAGACCCUUGCUGGAAAAAUAGAAGCCACGAAAGAAGCAAGAUGUCCACAUGUGCAGAGCUGCUGGAAGGCUCCAACACAUGGGAAGGAACAAGUUCCAAGCACAAAAUAUCCAAAGAGCUAAGGGAUAUUAGCACGUAAGCUGCCAGGAGGAGAAGCACCCUUUGAACCAGCAUGUACACUCAUUUGCUUUCCUUGUUCAGAUCUGGCCAGGGAAGGAGGAAGGAAAGAAGAAGAAAAAUAGCUAAGAAUAGAGUAUCCCACUGAACAGCUGCGGGAAAGGAGGCCUUGAGCUCCCAAAGUUCCUGAUUUCGUGGAAAUAGAAAGAGGGAAAUUUCACCAAGAUAGGAAGAGUCAAGGGAGGAUAGGAGAAAGGAAGGGAGAGAUUUGGCCAAAUUGGAUAGAAACCAUUAGGGUUUCUUGGAAAAUGUCAGCUUCUAGCGUCUAUAAAAGAGGCCUUUUCUACCCAACGAAAUGAACCCACACCUAGAGAGCAAGCUUCCUCUCUUACCUGCAAAAACCCAGCAAUCUCGUGCACUAUUCACCCUCCUUGCCGGAAGAACAUGGUUCUUUCUUCCUCUCUUCUUAGCCAAAUCAGCUUGCAAACCUCUUCUUCCUCACCUUACACACUCCCAUUUCUCCCUAGGAAGCCAUAUUUUCCUCUUUGGUGCUAAACUCAUGUUGAUUUUGCUUCCAUGCCACAAGCCUCUCACGUCAAGCUUGAAAAUUUAUCUGUAAGCAUCAAGAAAUCAUCUGUAAGUUGCUGUUGUUUUGGUUGGUGAAGGUAACCAAGAUGCUUCCUAAGGCUCUACUGCCCUUUCGAAGCAUUUUUGGGGCUUGAUUUUCGAACUCAGACAAAGGGGACAAUUUCAUCAAUCUGCCCUUUACGGCAGCCCAGCCCAUUUACAGCUGCCGGAAGAAAAAGCCCCCUACAAAGGUUUAAUACCAUCGUCUCUUUGACGGCAGCAAGAGGAACAAUGGGAUACAUGGCUUCUGAGUUGUUUUACAAAAAUAUUAGAGGUGUCUCAUACAAAGCUGAUGUCUAUAGUUUUGGAAUGUUGUUAAUGGAAAUGGCAAGUAGAAGGAAGAAUUUGAACGCAUCCAUAGAGCAUUCAAGCCAAAUUUAUUUUCCUCCUUGGGUCUCAGACCAAUUUUGCAUGGACAAAGAGUUUGAGAUGAAUGAUGCUACAUAAGAGGAAAAGAAAAUAAUAAAAAAGAUGAUUAUAACUGCUUUAUGGUGUAUACAAUUGAAGCCAAGCGAUCGUCCUUCGAUGAACAAAGUUAUAGAGAUGCUUGAGGGAAAGGUUGAAUGCUUGCAACUCCCUCCCAAGCUUCUUUUAUGUCCACAACAAGAGAUGCCCAGAGACAAUCUCCGUGGUAAUUCGAAUCCAAUGUGUUGUAACACAGAGCUAACAUGUAGUACUCUGUCAGCUAGGUGAUGAGUAGGACUCAACUAGAGUUUCAACUGUAAUUUCAGUUUUAUUAUUAUUUAAGCUAAUAAGAGAAAUAUAUGGGUUCAAGUUGCAUACAGUAAAAAUUCGUUUUUAUUUUGAAAAAAAUACUUAUGUGAUUUUGCUCCUCUACCACCACAAGCAUCACCAUCGUUGUCACAAUCACUACCACCACCAUUGAGUGACAUCUCCUUCUUCUUCUUUUUUCUUUUUUUUUUCCUUUUUUUUUAAGGAAAAUGUUAUGGAAACCACUUUUAGCAAAAUUUACAUGUAAUGGGAAUAGCAAUAUUUUGCUAUCCCUAAUCAAUAGAAUAAUGAUCUGUGGAAAAGUUAUCAUACGUGUGAUUGCGUUAUUGGUUGGGGAUAGCAAAAAGUGUUAUCUCGUUACAUGAGAGUUUCCCCUCCAUCUUUAAAGAGACCAACUUGUGUAUCUUCUCUCUAAUGGAGAUGGGACCCAUGGUAUUAGUGGGCUCUACCUUCAUUACAGAGACGAUACACAAAAGAUGUUUUUAUAAAAAUAAAUUUUAAAUAUUGUAUUUAAAUGUCAUUUUGAAUUCGCACGCUUGGUGAAGAGAUGGUUGAGUAUGUGCUCUCAAUCUUUUCUUUGUGAGUUAAACUGGUGAACUUGAGUGCUUUGAUUCUUGUGUCGACGGUGAACUGCCCAAGCGUGACUUUCUUCAACAAGUUGGCUCAAUAGAGACUGAGAGUUCAAAUGCUCUCUAUUGAGUUCAAAUGCAAUUGCCCAACCUUUCUUUUGUCGCUUGCCUCCUUUCCAAUUGUCGAAGUCAACUUAGGUUUCGAUUUGGGUAUGUAGUUGCGCCCGGAUAAAAGCACCUUUUGAAUUAUUGGCAAGGGUUUCUUAUUUUAGAAAGUCAAACCUCUUCUGGAGAAAUUAUAGAAUGGUACGGUAUUACCACGUCAGUGGGUGAUACUUCCACUCAUAUAUUGACAUAUGUCUUUUUAACCCUCCACUAAUUAAAUUAUUUUCCAGCUAGACAUUAGGUAUCAGUUUUACCCUUUAGAACUAAACUAUUAAAAACUUUUAUUUAUAUAAAAACAAAAAACAAAACAAAAAAAUAAAAAAAAAAAGACGACUGCAGCCAAGGUCUGCAGUCCUAUACCCCCUUGCUGCCGCCCCCUCCCCUUCUUUUCCUUCAUCUCUCUCUCUCUCUCUCUCUCUGAAUCACUUUAUUUAAUAGUUGGCAUUUAUUAGAUCAUCUCUUGUCAAGGCCAUGCGGGAUUGAGAGCAAAGUUGGAUAAAGAGAACUUGGAUCUGGAGUUUUUGAGGGAGAUGAAGGCAACCUAGAUGAGGAGAUUGAAGGAUUGGGGAAAGGAAUAAAAACAGGGAGGGAGGGCGCUGCAGAGGGAAACUGAACAGGACGGAGGUGGGAGGCUGUGACACGGUUUUUUUUUUUUCUCUUUUAAUUUUUGUGAAGGGUAAAAUUGGAACCCAAUGUCUAGCUGAAAAAAAAAGUAUAAAUUUUCUUUUAAAAAUACACGUGGCAAAUUUUAAAUGGAAGUAUCACCCGCUAACGUGGUGAUACCGUACCAUUCUAUAAUUUCUUUUGUUUGUGGUUUGACUUGAACUUCCAUUAUUAAGUCUUUCCAUUUAUGAAUUUAAGUGGGCCAAAGCCCAUUUGUACUUUUAAAAAAAUCCCUUAAUGGGUCUUUUUUCAUUUUAGGCCCAAACAAAACUCUACUAGUGUUAUUUAUAAUAAAUAAUAGCCACUUAGGGUUGGCAACAACUACCAGUCAUCGUUGCUUAAUGUUAAUGCCACUUGUAGAGGAGAGGUGAUGGCUAGGAAAUCUUGGAUUAGGAAAAUGGGGAAUUUGAGGAAUACGUUUAGGAAGAAGAGUACAUCUAAGAUGAGAAGUGAAAGAAAUAGGAGUUUUAGGCAUCCGAGGUUUAGGAAUUUGAGUUAGGCGGAUCCAGGAAUUUUACUUCCAAGGGUCGACAUGUAAAGUAUCACAAAAAAAAAAAAAAUUUAGACAAAAUUGACCUGUAAAAAGACAUAUGAAAUCAACACUAAUUUACUAUUUGCAAAUAAUCUUAUUAAGGGCCUUAGCAUACAAAAAAUAUGCUUUAAAAUAGGCUCAUAAUCAAUUUAUGUUAGCAAUUGUUUGUAUUGCUAGUUAAGAUUAUUAUGUCUUGCUAUAAUAACUUUUAAAUACAUCAUAAAGCCAGCAAAAUUAUUUGGGUGGGUAGGGUUUGCGUUGGGGAAUUGAGUUGCUUUGAGGGAAAUAUGUUUGACUUUGGGGGGGUUAUUGGCAUCCUUUUUUGUUUUUUUGUUUUUUUGUUUUUUUUGUUUUUUGAACGCUUGGGGAGAAAGGUUGAUAACUUUAAACAAUAAAUAAAUAAUAAAAGAAGAACAGACACGUAUGCAAGCAGCCGAUAAGCCUUUAUUUGGAGCAUUACAUCGAACAGAUGAUUGGCAUGACUUCUCCAGCCAUCCACCACAUGCAGGGGGAACUCUCUCAGGAAGUUUUCGGCGAGAGGGAAUGUACAGCAGCUCCUUACGCCUUUAUGGCUCCGACACUAUGUUAUGCUUCUUUUUUCUUUUUUUUCUGUUUCUUUUAGUCAAGGAUAUUUUUGCUUCUUAGAGCUCCAGGAAAUGAGACUAGUACACAGAAAGGUUACAAAACCAUGGUGAAUCUUGUAUCAUUAGAGCAUCUCCAAGGGAAAAGGCAAAAUAGUAGGCAAACCUCAUUUGUCUUGUCAUAUCAGUAUUUUUAUGCUCCAAAAGAAAAGGCAAAUAGGUAGGCAAAAUAUACCUACUCUCCGCAACAAGACAAUACUGUCUACUUCAAAGUGAAAAUGUAUAUUGGGCCGUACUUGCUUUUUAUUAUUAAAAUAUCAUCCACACUAUUUCACAUACUUUCUAUAAAAAUAUAAUAGUAAAUAUAAAAGAUAAAAACAAAUAAUAUAAUAAUGGUUUGUAGACUUGAAUUACCUAGUCCCUUGGAGUGACCAACUUUUUUCAUGAGGCAAAUGGGUAGGCAACAUGCCACCUAGAUUGUUAUUGUACAAUUUUGCCUAUUUUAUUUUGCCUCUUCCCUUAGAGAUGCUCUUAGGAUCACUCGUCAGCAUCUGUGUAAGCUUUUAACUCCAAAUAUCUAAGACAAAAGGUACCUCCAGAUCUCUGUAAGCUGUGAAGAAUUUCAUGUGAAUGUAGAUAGUGUGGGAUUCAGAAUUGAACUUUUAUUGAGGUGAAAUUACAAUACAAUAACUGAUAAGAAUUUUUUUCUUAAUAACUGUUGAGGGAAAAUGUGAGUCUCCCAACAUAAUUUUACCACCAUUACCUAAGCAAUGAGGUUUUAUUAUCUUUUAAGUUCAACUCAUUCAAGAUUAAAGAAUCUCUUAAUUACAAUCUCUUUCUCACCUCACAGGGUCAAAGCAACCCCUUUUACAAGUUUGAAUGAAACAACUCUAAACAAAAAAUCUCUCAUGUUUGAGAAGGAUAUGCAAUUGAAGCUCACACAAUGAUAACUCUCCUUUCUAAGUAGGUGAUAUAGAAGUCAUUUGGACACUAGAAUUCUUGUAUGAAUAUGGACAGGAUUGGCUCAAGAGAAAAUGAUAUUCAGAGUAUGUUAAACGCUUGUAAGCUUGGAUGAAUAUAUUGAGUUGUCUUUUUUUUACAAAAAUUUGAAGACAUAUUUAUAAGCAUAGAAAUAUAGUUGUUGGAAAAAUAAUGCCGUUGGAAAAGCUGUUAGGAAUAUAGUUGUUCUCCUUUUACUUUCAUCUAUUUUUGUACUAUUCCAUUUACUUAAGCUCACAAUGUAAAUAAGGAAGUACCCACAUUUGGAUUCAAUAAAAAUAUUAGAAAAUCAAAUUCCCACCAAAUCAAAAGAUGAAAAAUUAGUUUUAGUUCAAAAUACGAUUUAGACUAAAAAUGAUGGCUCAUUAAGUCUCUAAGGUCAAUCUAGGUACAAAGUUUUAGUUGUUCAAUCCACAAAGAGUCUUACAAGAAUAACCUAACUCUUACAUAUUGAAGACAUAUUUGCUUGAGUAUCGGCUUCUUGCUUCAAUGUUCCAAAUGUCUUCUAGUGUGUACACUAUUUUUGAUCCAUUUAGGAAUAUCUGCUCCUUACAACUUAUCGCACUUGAAAUACAUUAGAUAAAUAAGUAAUAAUUUAUUAUCAUCAAAAUAUGCACGACAAGAUUUAUCAUAAAUAAGUAAUAAUUUAUUAUCAUCAAAAUAUGUUAAAAUAUUUAUCAUACAUUUUAACAUUAAGUUUCAUAUUAAAUUAUCAUUCAACACAUCCAGAUUAACUAUUAAGUUCAACUCAACUAUUCAAAAUCACAUCAAUAUGAAAUUCCAGAUAAGGUAAGGAAGAAUUAAGAGAGGGAGGUUAACGCAGGGUGAAACAUAAAUAUUAUAAUUAUAUAUUUAUUUAUUUAAAUAUAAACAUAUAUAUUUUCGGUUCGGGUUCGGGGAUGGGGACGCCAAUACCAUCCCCUCCCCAUACCCGCUAGGGAUUUUUCAAGUUCGGCGAUCCCCAUACCCGAUACCCGUUUGACCUCGAAAUCUCCUCCCGCUAAGGUUGGGGAUCCGACCUGCCCCGCGGGAAUUUUUGCCAUCCCUAGAUAUAGUUAAUGGAUAGUUUUGUUUUGGGCUUAGUCAUAUGUUUUUGAAUUUUUGUUAGCUUGACGUCAAUGGGCCUUCACAAGGGCUUUAAGGCUUGUUUAAUUUUUUUUUUAAUUUUUAUUUCUACCCUUUUAUAACUAAAAACACUGCAAAAUUCCUCAAAAAUAAAAUUCAAACAUGAGAUAUGAGAUCUGAUCAUAUCCAUCAACCAGCAAUGUCGACCAUGUGGGAACCAAUAUUUCGAGGACCAAUGAGUGGGUGACAUGUGGAAAAGGGAAAUUUCCUAUGUCAAAUAAUCAUCCUAAUUAAUUAGGGAGAUAAUAUUUGAUUCAAGAUCUGAAUAUCUCCCUAAAUUAAGGAAGAUAUUUCCACCAAAUCUCCUUGAUUAAUUCCAAUAUCCUAUUUUUGGGUAAGAAUAAUCCUGAUUAAAUAAGGAUUAUUCUUCAAACCCUAGAAGGCAUGAGCUCUACAAAUACAUGAGUACACAACACACAUGUGGUAAUUGUAAACUCAAUUUCGAAAACCCUAGAGAACUCUCUCUCUCUCUCUCUCUCCUUCACACGGCUCUGGCCAAAACACACACAACUCCAGCCACCUGGCUCUCCCAAUAAGAGAAGACCUUCCUAAGAUCCAAUUAACUAACUUAAGCAUCAGAGGGCCUUUAGUCAACACCCCCUCCCCUUCCCCCUCCCCCCAAGGUGUGGUCCAUUGACCUAGAUUUGUUUUACAUGAAGCGAGAAGGAAGAAGAAGAAAUGAGUUCGAAGGGUGAAGAAGAAAGGAGUUCAAAAGGUGAAGAAUCAAUCUAGAAUAUUCCCAUGUGUGGAUAUUUGCACAAAUAUUUUCGUGCUUUCAUUGAGAGCAUCGAGUUACACUCACACGUUGCUCUCAAAUCAAAGAAAUCUGUUACACUCAAUCAAAGCCUUCCACACAACCAUGGUCAAGAGCAAGCACAUGAGAAGCAAGGUUGUCGCGACAACACAAUCCGUGACAGACCCUAGCCAUCGCGAUGACGCGGUGUCGAUCCAACCAAAAAGCUUCGCAGCCAAAACCACGACUUUUCCUCCCGGCCCCAUGGUCGUGGGUACGACUCUACACGCUUGGCUUUUGAGCUUUUGAGCUCUAUAUAUUAAAAAAUUAGCUUAUCUUGUGACAUGUAUUAUCAAUCUAUAUAUAUAGGGGGUUUUUCGUUCCGGCAGCUACUACGGGCAUGGGCUGUCAUAAACAUCAAAAUGGAUGAAAUUGCCCCUUGAGCCUGAGUUCGAAGAUCAAGCCCCAAGAAUACUUUGAAAGGACAGUAGGGCCUUAGGAAACACCUUGGUUACCUUCACCAACAAAAAUAACAACAGCUUACAGAUAAAUUCUUGGCUUGGCAUGAGAAGCUUGUGGCAUGGGAGCAAAAUUGUCAUGAGUUUAGCACUGAAGAGAAAACUAAGUAUUCCUAGGGGAAAGAUGGGGUAUUAAGGUUGGAGAGAAAGGAUUUUGCAGAGAGGUUUGGUUGAGCAUGAGGAAAAAGAGAGAAAAAUGUGGCUUGAGUGUUUUUCCGGUAGCUUGACAGAGACUCUGUCAAGUGUCAGAAUAGCUUGCCAAGAGGGAAAACUAAGGGAAAAGGAUGAGCUGAGCACGAAAUUGUUGGGUUUUGGGAGUAAGAGAGGAAGCUUGCUCUCUGAUGUGGUUUAUGCUUGUUGGGUAGAAGAGGCCUCUUUUUAUAGCCGCUGGAAGCUGACAUUUUCCAAGAAACCCUAAUGGUUUCUAUCCAAUUUGGCCAAGUCUUUCCCUUCCUUUCUCUCCUUAUUUCUUCAAUCAUCUUAUUUUGGUGAAAUCCACUCUGCCCAUUUGCACAAAAUCAAGGAUUUUUGGGAGCUCAAGGCCCCCUUUCCCGCGGCUGUUUCAGACUCAUAUUUUCAGCCAUCUUUCUUCCUUCUUUUCUCCCCUCUUCCAAGGCUAGGUCUGAUGAGAGAAAGAAAUGGGUAUGCAUGUUGGUUCAAAGGGUGAUUUGCGCUCCAAUAUCCCUUGGUUAUUUGGAAGUUUUUGCUUAAAACUUGUUCCUCCCAUGUGCUGGAGCCUCCUAGCAGCUCUGCAUAGUGGACCUCCAGACUUCCCUUUGUGGCUUCUGUUUUUUUAGCAAGAUGCUGAGGCUUUUGCAAGUUCUUAUUUUAAUUAUAUGGGCCUUCUAGGAUAAUGGGUUGGUUUGUCAAAAUAAAUGGGCUAACCUCAACAAGUGUUGGCCUAUUUUUGUUGAGGUGAUGGGCUAUUUUGGUUGGAGUGAUGGGCUACUUUCCCUUUUGUGCUCACCCAUAUAUUUGGGCCUAAGAAAUGGGCUUGGGUUCUGAGACUCCCAAGCAACCCAGAACCUCCAUUUCUCGCUUCAUUAAUGGGCCUCGUGACAAUUUAUUAUCAUCCAUACCACAACCCACUCAAGCAAGCCCCGGGCAUCUUGAGUGGCUUGGGCCCACUUAAGCUUGUAGCGUGGCAUGUUGCUUAUUUGCUUGGCGUGGUAUGUGUGCAAAGCAUAUAUGACGAACUUUCGCGUGUCCAAAUCGGGUUUUUUUCUUGAUAAGGUAUCGUAUUGGGCCGAGAAUUUAUUUGGGCAGAACCGUAGAUUUUUUGGGCCUCAACAUAUAUACUUAUUUAUUUUUAUUUUUAUUUAUUUAUUAAUUUCUCUUAUUCGGUUGUCCACAUGUUAUUAUCGUGCAGAUGCCAUUGUAAACAAGGAGAAAAAUCAUAGAAGGGUAGUAGAACAUACAUGGUAUCCGCACAAUAAUAACAUCCAAACGUCCACAUAAGAGAAUAUAUAUAUAUAUCAGUCCCCUUCUAUUGAGGGAUCCUAUUAUUCAAUAGAAAAAUACAAUUUCAAAUCCAAAGAUGAAACUACACAAUACUAUGAAGAUCGUGCCACAAAAUCAUGUAAGAACGAACAAAACUGAGCUCGAAAGAAGAGAAAUAAGAUCGAACUGAAGCACAAAAAUUGCUCGCCAAAACUGACCUUGAUUCCGCAUGCAAAAGCAAAAUUACGAAGAAAAUAUAAAAACACAAAACAUAAUCAGAAUAAAAUAGAAAAACUAAGAAAAUCGAACGAAAACAUGCUAGAAGAUCAGAGCUCCAAUCAUAGCUAGACGAACCAAAGCUCCAAAUCUUCAAAGCGAACGAAAACGAAAGCGAACCAGAGCUCCAGUUUCAAAUCGCGCAUACUUUAAACAUACAGGGGUGAAAAAAUCAUUUACUUUGUAAGUUUUAAAGUUGGGCCAGGCUUUCUUAAGAAGAAUGGAAGCAUUGUCUUUUUAGUUAUUAUUUUAAGCUAGACCAAUGAAUUUGGGCCUCCUCUUUGGCCUAAUUCAAAACAACAAUUCAUUCCUAGGUAUUAACCAAACAAAAACAACAAUUUUGCUUUUAUAUAAGGGUAAAGUGUCGUUUUGCCCCUUGAACUAUGGCCUAAUCCAAUCUUUAUAUUUUGGUUGUAGUCCCACCCUCCCCCUCCCUGCAAUAUGGGUUUCUCUUCCCCCGCUUUUUUCUUCUUUUUCUCUGCCAAUUUUUUUUCCUUCUAUUCUUCCUCUUUGUUUCCUUAUCUCCUCUCGUUGUUCAUUUUUUUUGGUGACACAGAGCUUGAGCAGAGGGAGCAAUGGAGGUAUUUGGGUUGUGGGGUUUUCGCUGGCGGAGGAGUAUGGGUUCGGGUGCGAAAAUGGAAACAAUAAAUGGAAUUUGUUUUAUUGUUUAUUUUAAACAAUAAAUGGAAAUACAAAUGGAAGGACUAUAAUUCCCUCAACAAACAAAUCACAUGGCCCCCUAAUCAGUACUUAGACAGAAAUAUAGAUGAAAUCUCAAGAAAUCUAUCGGCAAGUUUUAUAUUGACUAUUUUAAACGAGUAAAAAAAUUAAAUCAAGAGACGAAAUAAUUCAAGAGAGUAAGUUUGAAUUGCCUAAUAAUUUAGGGGGCAAAACGGCUAAAAAUUCUUUAUAUAAUACAUAUAAAUUUCAUUAGCAGCAUGCAAAACGAAGAUUUUAUGUGAGCAUUAUUCUUGACUUGAUGCAUUGCCCAUGGAUUUCUGCUAGCAACCACAUAUCUAUCUGACCAUAUCGUAUCAUAUUUUAUGAAAACGCGGCUUUGACCGUUGACCGAAGUACCAGAGACAGAUUGUAAAGAAAAAUAACCCCAUGCGGAUCAGAGUAAGACAAAAACGUAAUGAGACAACCUCAAGACUCCAAGGAUACUGUGUCUAAUUAAUUAGUACACACUAGGUGUUCCGUAGGCAUAAAUGUACGUAGUGUUUAUACAUUUCUCCUCCGAUGCCAUUAUUUCCCCGCAAAGCCCACGAAAUUGCCUUUUAUCUUCAAUUCAGAGCAUGCAAUUGGCCUUCUCGUCAAUGAUCGCUUGGAAGAAACUCAUUGACAUGUAUCUAUUAAGCUCCUGUCAGACGCGGCUUUGACCUCCAAGUCGUGACAAUAGAAAUGCAGCAGCAGCUUGCUAGCGGAUUGAAGAAGUGUGUCUAAAAAUUUAUCUCUCCAUGGCAAGCACUUGCAGAUUAUGUGUUCUCGUUAUAGUAAGUGUAUUCUUGCUUGGUUUUAGUGCCAUGUUUGUCUAUAUUCUUUAUGGUUUAGUGCGUAUAACUGGUACAUCAAUUACGAAGAGCCCUGAUAAGUGUGUCCCGUCUGCCUGCGGUAACAUCAACAACAUAAUCAGCCCCUUUCGACUAGCCAACGAUACAAAUCAAGGCAACUGCACGAACUGGGAUUACCACUACUACAACCUCUAUUGUGACAACAACCUCACAGUAUUGACAAUAAAUCGGGGAAAAUACUAUGUGCAGGCAAUCAACUACGACAACUUCACAAUCCGAGUUGUAGAUCCUGGCAUUCGCAACAAUGAUUUCUCCUUCAUCCCCCGUUAUUCGCUUUCCAUUUACAACUUAACUUCUCAUCUUCGAUUAGCAUCAAGUACAACACCUAUAACUUUCUUCAAGUGUGCCAAAGCAGUGAACUCAUCUGCGAUGAGUACGUAUAAUUAUGUCAAGCAAGGGACUAUAACGGCAUCAGAUAUGGAGGACGGGUGCAGAAUAGAGUGGACGACUUUGAUGAGUAAGUCGUUCUUGUACGAAACGGACAGAAACUUUUCUUAUCAUGACAUACAUAACGCACUGGGGUAUGGCUUUGAGCUUCAAUUCCGCUUUCUCAAGACCAGCUACAAAUUAGGUUUGUGAUUAUUUGCUAUAUUCCAAGUCUACAAUUUCUUACUCAAACUUUCUGAAUUUCUCCAAAUGUCACUUGUUUAAAACUAUCAUCCAUGACUUUUUUUUAUGCUUUAUUUCUCAUUUUCAAUUCAUUUGUUUUGUUUUGUUUUAAUUGAAAUAAGGCGAUACAGGGUUGAAAAUGAGAAAGCUAUGGAGAAAAUACGUCAAAUAUUCUUUGAAAAUAAAAUUCUCAAAAUUUUAAAUAGAUUUAUUACUUGUAUUUUGUCUGGAUAAUUUAGGGCAUGUUUGGUGUUCAACUUAAAUCCAACUUUUUAGACUCAAAAACAAAAUUUGAGUCCAAAACAAAGAAAACCUGUUUGGUAGCCUUAUUUUUAAAAACUCACACUCAAGAACAACUAAAAAACACCUCAAUUAUUAAAAACAACAAAUAUCUGUUUUUUCAAUUUUUUUAACAACCCACAAGUUCUCAAAUUUUUAACAUUUGAAAACAGUUUCAAUACCAAACAAGUUUUUGAAUCAUAAAAAUAGAUUUAAGAACUCCUUGUUUUUAAGAAAAAUCAAAGUUUUUGAGUUCCCUAUUUGAAUAAGAUACCAAACGCCCCCUUAAAUUCCCUUAUCUCUUCUUCACCUUCCUCAUAUGAUGUAGUCUGCUAAUUAGUCUUAGUCAACCAUUAAGCAGGGCUGGGAUAUAUAUACAUAUUCCUUCGAAAUUUCAAACUUAUCGUCAAGUCUUUGAUUUUAGUUACUUUUUUCUUGUAUCUACUGCAGGUAUUUACAGUUGGCUGAGAUUAGGUAAGAGUUUGCAUAUUCCUUUAGUGCAGAAUUGUAUUUCCUAUUAGUCAGUAGAAAAAAACAAAUGGAAGCAAAGAGGAAGGUUAUGACGCACAUAUACUUAUAAGUAAAUUUAGGUUUUACCCAUAAAAAAACUUUCACUUUUGGAAAAAGUCAAAGCUUUUUCAAAAAAGACAGAAUAACCUCUCAACUUUCAAACCAAAGACAUGCAAAUGUAAAGGAUUCCUUAGGAAAUUAAAAAAUAAAUAAGGGCAAUUUUGUCCAUUUUGGCUUCUUUUAAAAAUUUUCUCUCUCCUUUGGGCUUUUCCAAAGUCUCCCCUAUAUUAUAUCCAAUAAAGCAUGUCAUUUGUGAUUCUUUUUGUGAUGUUGCUUUGCAGGAGCAUUUUUCCUAAUAAGAUCUAUAUUUGGGGUUCCAUUUCUGGCUGCUCUUCUAAUCUACAAACGACGAAGAAUGCAUUUGUCAAUGUAUAGCAACAUAGAAGAUUUCCUGCAAAGUUAUAACAAUCUCAGUCCAAUAAGGUACUCUUACUCAGAUAUUAAAAAGAUUACCAAUAGAUUCAAUGAGAAGUUGGGUAAAGGAGGUUAUGGCUCUGUAUUUAAAGGAAAGUUACGCAGUGGCCGAUUUGUAGCAGUUAAAAUGUUGGAGAAGCCUAAAGCUAAUGGACAAGAUUUCAUAAGUGAGGUAGCUACUAUUGGGAGGAUUCACCAUUUUAAUAUGGUUCAACUUGUUGGUUAUUGUGUUGAGGGAUCAAAGCGUGCCUUAAUUUAUAACUUCAUGCCAAAUGGAUCUCUUAAUAAAUAUAUUUAUUGCAAAGAAGGAAGUAACCCCUUAAGUUGCAGGAAAAUGUAUAAGAUUUCUCUUGGAGUGGCUCAAGGAAUCGAAUAUCUACAUCGAGGUUGUGACAUGCAAAUUCUACAUUUUGAUAUCAAGCCUCACAAUAUUCUUCUUGAUGAGAAUUUCAUCCCAAAGAUUUCUGACUUUGGGCUUGCAAAGCUAUAUCGGUACGUAAUACCAUUGUCUCUUUGACGGCAGCAAGAGGAACAAUGGGAUACAUGGCUCCUGAGUUGUUCUACAAAAAUAUUGGAGGCCUCUCAUGUUAAGAUUUCAGAAGGACGGACUCUUGGCCCACCACUAGCAACAUCGAUAUUGUCCCCAACUUAACCACCUGUUUAGCAGGUGUGGGGUUUUAUACAAAAGGCCUCAAUGUUAUUAGGAGUGGAACCAUUUAUUAUAUGGGACUUUCUAUUUUGUUGGGUUUCUGAUGUGGGACUCGUGUAUUCUUCAACAUUCCUCAGUUGACGUGAGUCUCCUAAUUAAACAAGGAGAUUUAUUUCCUUGAUUAAUUAAGGGAUUUACUUUCCUAUUUUUUAUAUAAGUGAUAAAUCAUUGUACAAUUAGGAGAUACUUUCCUAAUUCUUUACUAUAUCUAAUUCCUUAUAAAACCCUCAUAUGUAAACUCCUAUAUAUACCUCCUUAAGGAGAAGAAUAAAAUACAACCUAAUACAUUCAAACCAUAUUCAUAUUUUAGCGUGGUAUCAGAGCAAUCGAUCCUCGGUUGUCUCUAAAUUCUCAUAUCACAUUUCUUCAAACACAGAUUCUAAAACCUCAUAUCAAAUUUCUUCAACCUCAAACCCUAAAUUAUAUUCCUCAUCUUUAUCUUUCCCAAAUUCAGAUCUCCAUACACAUAUCCCUCAUACCUUUCAAUUCCUAAACACAUAUUUUUUAUCCUUCCACUACCAUGGAUACCGUCUCGAUUUUCGAACCCACCAAAUCCACUCCACCAUCCUCCCAAAUUGUUACUAUUUAUAGUGACAACACUCUGUUUCUGACCGGCAUCAUCUUGACUUAGACCAAUUAUGCCUUAUGGUCUCAGGUCAUGGAGAUGUGUAUUGCUGCCCGAGAAAAUUUGGGGUACCUCACCAGGGACACCCCGCAACCUUCUAAGCUCUCCUCCACCUACUCAAAAUGGUGUACGGAGAACUUUCGGGUGAAGGGGUGGCUCAUUGACUCCAUGUCUCCCGACUUGAUGAGUCGUUUCACCCGUUUAAGUACCGCCAAAGAAAUCUGGGAUGCCGUGAAGAAAACGUACUUUGAUGGUGGGGAUGAAACUUUCCUUUUUGAUCUCAACAAACGGUCGUUCACCAUUAAACAGAAUGGUGCCCCUGUCCACAAAUAUUACAGCCAGCUGCAGACCAUCUUUCAGGAGAUUGAUCACCGCACUCGCAAUCGCAUGCAAUGCGACGCCGACGUGACUGAACGUCAGACCGAACUAGAUUCUCUUCUUGUUCACCUGUUUCUUGCCGGGCUCGGCCCUCAGUUUGAUCAAGUCCGGGGGGAAAUCUUGAGCAAAGAACCUAAAAUAGACCUUGACCAAACCUUUGCAUAUGUCCGUCACAAAGCUCAACAACGACUAACCAUGACCAGUACUCCAGACACUGUUGUCCUAGCCACCCAACGUCCACAGGGUCCUCCGACUUCUACCACUGUUGCUUCUCAGACUCAAGUCACAAGCUCUCAUCUGGAAUGCAAAUGCACUCACUGUGGUGGAAGCAAACAUACUCGUGCUUGCUGUUACGUAUGGAUUAGUUACCCGGCUUAGUGGGACCACUCCAAAGCUCCGCGCAAGAAUAAGGGAAAAUCACUCAACACAUUUUCUGACUAGCUCAUGUUAUUCCUGCAGUUCCAACAGCACUAACUCCUGCCUCUGCCUCUGUAGCCACAACAGGACAUCCAUAGCAGCAAGACGAUUGGUUGUGGUACUAGGAGGGGCAAACUCUAUAAAAAAAAUAAAAAAUAAAUUAAAGGGAUUGAAAGGGCUAUGUUUAUUGACGUAUCCCAAUUACCUUGACGUAUUCCCAAGAAGAUGUUGCUUAUUUCUUGACUCUGACGACCCCUUCUCUUCAAAGGGAGAAGGGGAGUGAAGAGAAGUUGUUUUGUCUCUAAACCCUGAUCUCAAAUUUCUUCAAAUUUCUCAUAUUCAAAUCCAAAACCCUAAAUCAAAUUCCUCUUUUUUUUUUCCCCAAAUCCAAAUCCCUAAACACAUACCAUCAAAUCUUAUACACAUUCCUCUUAAAUCCAAUUCCUACAUCAAAUUCAUACAUCAAAUUUCUCACAUCACCUUCCUCACCUUCUCAUAUCACAUCUUACUUCCGCUGCGAUGUCAGGAAUCCAUAUGAUUCUCCAUCUUAUUGCAGACUCACAGAAGCAUGCGGUCAAUCCUGCUGACCUGACUACCUAGACUCCUUCUUCUAUCACCACCACCAAAGGUUCUACUCUUCAUACGUCCUCCAAGAUCAGAUAUUGCAUAUGCUAUGAGUGUAGAAGAGUAUUUCAUGACUCACUUACCAAGUUGGGCAUUAGUGACAUAUAUGCACCAACUUGAGGAGGAGUGUUGACCCGAGUCUCCUAAUUAAUCAAGGAGAUUUACUUCCUUGAUUACUUAAGGGAUUUACUUUCCUAUUUUUUUGUAUAAGUGAUAAAUCAUUGUACAAUUAGGAGAUACUUUCUUAAUUCUUUACUAUAUCUAAUUCCUUGUAAAACUCUCAUAUGUAAACUCCUAUAUAUACCUCCUUAUGGAGAAGAAUAAAAUACAACCUAAUACAUUCAAACCAUAUUCAUAUUUUAGCAUCUCAUACAAAGCUGAUGUCUAUAGUUUUGGAAUGUUGUUGAUGGAAAUGGCAAGUAGAAGGAAGAAUUUGAACACAUCCAUAGAGCACUCAAGCCAAAUUUAUUUUCCUCUUUGGGUCUCAAACCAAUUUUGCAUGGGCAAAGAGUUUGAGAUAGUUGAUGCUACAGAAGAGGAAAAGAUAAUAAUAAAAAAGAUGAUUAUAGCUACUUUAUGGUGUAUAAAAUUGAAGCCAAGCGAUCGUCCUUCGAUGAACAAAGUUAUAGAGAUGCUUGAGGGAGAGGUUGAAUGCUUGCAACUCCCUCCCAAGCUUCUUUUAUGUCCACAACAAGAGACGCCCAGAGACAAUCUUUAUGGUAAUUCGAAUCCAAUGUGUUCUAACACAGACCUAACAAGUAGUACUCUAUCAGCUAGGUGAUGAGUAGGACUCAACUAGAGUUUCAACUUUAAUUGCAGUUUUAUUAUUAUUUACGCUAAUAAGGAAAAUAUAUGGGUUCAAGUUGCAUACAUUAAAACUACGUUUUUAUUUUGAACUAAUACUUAUGUGGUUUUGCUCCUCUGCCACCACAAGCAUCGCCCUCGUUGUCAUAAUCAUUACCACCUCCGCUGGGUCAUAUCUCAUAUAUUGAUUAUUAUAUUAUUAUUAUUAUUAUGAGAAAAUGCUAAGGACAUCAGCUUUAGUAAAAAUUUAUAUGUAAUGAGUAUAACACUAUUUUACUAUCUCGAACCAAUAACACAGUGACAUAUGGAAAAGUUAUCAUAUGUGUCAUUACGUUAUUAGUUGGGAAUAGUAAAAGUGUUAUCAAGUUACACAAGAGUUUCCCUUCCAUCUUUAGAGACUAACUUGUAUAUCCUCUCUAAUAGAGAUGGAAUAAUAUAUGGUAUUAUUGGGCUCCACCUCUAUUGAAGAGAUGGUACACAAGUUGAUUGAAAUAAAAUUUAAAUAUUAUAUUUAAAUGUCUCUUAUGAUUGAAAAAGAUCCUUGAGCGACAGCCAUUGUCCCCCACUUCAAUUUUCCGAGCAUGGAAUUGGCCUUUGCACCAAGGAUCGCAUGGAAGAAAGUCAUUAGCAAUAUGCAAAAUGAAAAAGAUGAUCAGCAAAUGCUUGAGGCCACUAAGUAAUGACAAUAAAGCACCACACAAACUGCAAAGGGAAGCAUUCAAAUGCAAAGGAUCAGUGAAUUGAAGGAAUGUCUUAAAAUCUCUUGGCAAAUCCUUAUGUGCCUUUCUGGUAAUAGAAAUUGCAGUUUCUCUUGUUCUUGGUCCAGUGUUUUGCCUUUUGCUUGCUUCUCAAUUAAUCUACGAAUCUACUACUGCUAAGCACAAUAAGGGCAAUGGAAAGUGCAUUUCAUCUUCCUGCGGUGACAUUCACAACAUAAUCUACCCUUUUCAGCUAACCAAUGGUCCAAAUAAAAGAAACUGCGCAAACAACCUCACCGUAUUGCACUUGUAUUCGGGGAAGUACUACGUGCAGACAAUCAAUUAUGACAACUUCACCAUCCAAGUUGUAGAUCCUGGCAUUCGCAUCAAUAAUUUCUCCUCCGUCCCCUGCUAUUCGUUGUCCCAUUACAACUUCACUUCAUUUUUCGAAUUGUAGUCUCCCUCCCCUUUAAGUACCACACCUAUAACUUUCUUCAAGUGUGCAAAGGCACUGAACUCAUCAUCUAUGUAUAAGGACACUACUAUUAUUCUGUGCACUAAUUGUAUUUCAUGUUGGUUCUCUGAAUCUUCAAGCAUGUGCUUUGUAGCGAUUCCUUCAAGCAACUAAUGAGUAAGAUAUUUUCACAGCAAUAAGCAUGUGCUCUGUUGGCAAUGACAGAUUAAUCUUUGUCCAUCUUUUACAAUAAAAGAUACAAAAUUAUUUACAGAGAACUUUGAGGAAGCUAUUAAAAAAAGGGCUUGUAGAAUAGAGGCUUGACAUUUUAUUGUUUUAAAUUCACAGGUUGCUCACUCUAAUUUUUUAUUGAACUUGGAGUUGGAAAAAAAAAAAAAAAAAGCAUUGAUUUAAUAUAGGUGUCCACUUCCAGAGAACUAUGAACAUAGAUAUAAAAAAAAAUUAAAAAAAUUAAAAAGAAAAGAUAGAAGAAAAGAGAGGUAAAAAAUAGAAGUUAGCUAAGUUGAACCAGUAAGCACAUUUCGGCCCAGUCGAGUAAACCCAACCCUUACCCGGCUCAUUUUUUUUUUCUCCUAAUUGAAGCUUGGUCCGGCCCAAACCUAGUAAAUUUAGGGUUUAGGCUGGUAGCAGCCCACCAAAUAUUCUAAGCUUUCUCACAUGAUUUGCAAAGAUGGCAUGUGUCAUCAUUUCCCCGCAAAGCCCACGAAAUUCCCCAAAGAAUCUUCAACAGGCCAUCGUCCCCCACGUAGGGACUAUAAUGGCAUCAGAUAUGGAAGACGGGUGCAGAAUAGAGUGGACGACUUUGAUGAGUAAGUCGUUCUUGUACGUAAAGGACAAAAACUUCUCUUAUCAUGACAUACACAGCGCACUGGGGUAUGGCUUUGAGCUUCAAUUCCGCAUUCCCAUAAUCAGUUCAGGUUUGUGAAUUACUUGCUAUAUUCCAAGUCUACAAUUUGUAACUCGAAAAUUUCUGAAUUUCUCCAGAUGUCACCUGUUUAGAUCUAUGAAUUUUUGUUGUGCUUUAGUUCCCAUUUUAAAUCAAGGUAUGUUUAUAUUUGUUUUUGUUUAGUUUUACUUCAGGCAUAUGUGAAAUAUUAUUUGAAAAUAAAAAUCAUAUCAAUUUUAAAUAAUAAUUUUAUUACUUGUAUUUUGUCUGGCUACUUUAAUUCCCUUCUCUCUUCUUCACCUUCCUCAUAUGAAGUAAUCUACUGAUUAGUCAACCAUUAAGCAGGGCAGAGUAUAUAUAUAUCUGUGCUUCGAAAGUUCAAUGUCAAGCCUUUCAUUUUAGUCACUUUUUCUUGUAUAUUUACGGUUGGCUGAUAUUCGGUAAUAGUUUGCAUAUUCCUUUAGUGCAGAAUUGUAUUUCCUAUCAGUCAGUAGAAGGGAAAAAAAAAAAAGGAAGAAGUAAAGAGGAAGGUUAUGACGCACAUAUAUUAUAUCCAAUAAAGCAUGUCAUUUGUGAUUCUUUUUGUGAUGUUGCUUUGCAGGAGCAUAUUUCCCAAUAAGAUCUAUAUUUGGGGUUCCAUUUCUGGCUGCACGUCUAAUCUACAAACGGCGAAAAAUGCAAGAAAGGAAAAGAAGUAUGGGAUGGAAUAGCAAACAAGAAGAUGGAAUUCACAUGCUUGUAAGGUGUCAUCCACUCCGAAGAAGCUCAAAUUCAAUGCAUAUUAUCUAAAAGAUGAUGAAAGUCACAAGGAAAGGAAGAAAAAGAGAAAACAAUUCAACAAUGGAACUGAUUCCAACCACACUAACAUAGGCAAGAUGAAGUGGGAGUUAGGUAUUGCAUUAAAAUAGGAAUGAUGGUAUUGGAAUCAUCAUGAUGUUUCUCCUUCUUAGCCCUAAAUAGAGAAGUCUUCAAGCUUCAAAAUAGACACCAAGUUCACAAUCUUCUCUUAGCUCUCUCUCCUUCCUCCAAUUCUUCUAGUUCUAAAUUUCUGUUUUUGUUUUAUUUUAUGGGGAACUAACUCCCUAGCUAAGGAUAGGGAGAAAGCUUUUAAUAUGAGUGUGUAUAAUUUUUAUUAGUUUGAUCCAAACUUAAGCUUUAAUGUGAAUUUGUAGUUUUUGUUCAAAAUGGAAUUUGUAGUUUUAUUUUUAAUUCAUUGAUGAAUGUUUGAUAAUCUAUUUCAUGGGUUCAAUUAUGUUUUUCCCAUUGUGUAGUAAAAACUUUCAUGUUCUUAAAAGAGAAGAGAAUCACUAAAGAUUAAUAAAAUUUCGAUGAAGAUUAUUUUUUUGAUAAUUUGUUGCCAAUGGUACAAGUUAUGUUUAGAAUACUUCUAAAUGAAAUUAAAAAGAGCUUUAGUUAUUUUGAACAACUACAAUGGAAAAUAUUUUGUGGAUCAAAUUGAUAAGAGUUGCAUGCUUAUGUUAAAAGUGGAAUCCCAAUGCCUUAGUGUUUUAAUCAAUUGAUUUUUCUUUAAAUUAAAUCUUGCAUAAAUCUACUUCUCAUUCUUAAUUGUUCUAUCUCAACUCUGUUAUUUUCUUUACACCGCUCUCUGUGGAUACAACACUCAGACUUCCGAGCUACACUACUAUACGACACAUUUGCUUGGGUUUUGCAAAGUGGUACUAACAUUUCUAAAGCGUCAUAAAGGUAAAUUGACAGCUUUAAUUAUUUAUGUUGAUAAUAUGAUUGUGACUAGAGAUGAUCAGGCAGAAAUGCAAAAUCUUCAGAAGUAUCUGGCUUUCGAGUUUGAGAUGAAGUCAUUGGGUGAUUUGAAGUACUUUCUUGGGAUUGAAGUUGCCAGAUCUAAACAUGGUAUCUUUUUGUCUCAAAGAAAGUAUAUUUUGGAUUUACUUGCAGAGACUGGAAUAUUAGAUUGUAAACCAAUUGAUACCCCUAGUGAACAGAAUCAUAAGUUGAGGUUGUAUCCUGAUCAAGUCCCUACAGAUAAUGAGCGUUAUUAACGACUUGUGGGGAAAUUGAUUUAUUUAUCUCAUACACGUCCUGAUAUUGCAUAUGCAGUGAGUGUAGUGAGUCAGUUUAUGCAUUCUCCUAGUAAAGAUCAUAUGGGUGCUGUGAUGCGCAUUUUGAGGUAUCUGAAAGUUACUCCUAGAAAGAGGUUAAUGUUUUGCAAGUAUGGUCAUACAGAUGUGGAAAGGUAUAUGGAUGCUAAUUGGGCUGGUUCAGUCACUGAUAGACGUUCUACGUCUGGGUAUUUCACAUUUGUUGGUAGUAAUCUUGUUACUUGGAGGAGUAAAAAGCAAAAAGUGGUGUCUAGGUCUAGUGCGAAGACCGAGUACUGCAGGAUGGCUUAGGGUGUAUGCGAGUUACUAUGGUUAAGAAGAUUGUUGAAAGAUCUUGGGUUUGGACCCCAUAAACCCAUGGAUUUGUAUUGUGAUAAUAAAGCUGCAAUUGCAAUUGCGCAUAACCCUGUCCAACAUGAUCGUACAAAGCACAUGGAGGUUGAUCGACAUUUUGUUAAAGAUAAGUUGGAUGCUGAAAUUAUUUCUUUUCCGUUUAUAUCAUCUGAGUAUCAACUGGCAGAUGUUCUUACAAAAGCUGUGUCUACUACAGUCUUUCUCAACUCGCUUGACAAGUUGGGCAUGCGUGACAUCUUUGCUCCAACUUGAGGGGGAGUGUUAGCGAAAUCCUAGCUUAAAUAGGAUAUAUUUUCUAGUUUAUUAGGACUAUAUUUCUUUCCUUUUGUACAGAUAUUGUGUAAUUAUGAUUUUAUCUUGUUUCCUAGUUUGACCUUGCUAGGGUUUCAUUCUUGCACUAUAAAUACCUCCUUUUAAAGAAUGAAAUACAACCUGAAAAAUAUUCUACCUAUAUUGUUUGACUAAUUCAGAGCAUGCAAUUGGCCUCGAUGAUCACUUGGAAGAAAGUCAUUGGCAAUAUGCAAACGCAUGUCCAUGGAUUUGGCAUAUACCUAUCGAGCUCCUAUCAAACGCGGCUUUGACCUCUAAGUUGUGACAAUAUGCACCACACAAAAUGUAAAGGGCAACAAUUUUGAAUUGACUCGCAAUGAAAAUGCAGCAGCUGCGGGACCAAAGCUAGUGGAUUGAAGAAGUGUGUCUAAACACUUCUCUCUAUCCAUCCUUAUGUGUUCUCGUUAUAGCAAUUGCAUUAUUUCUUGUUCUUGGUGUCGGUUUUGGCUAUAGUCAGAGCAUGCAAUUGGCCUUCGCGUCAAUGAUCACUUGGAAGAAACUCAUUGGCAAUAUCCAAAAGCAGGUCCAAGGGAUUGGCUUGGCAUAUAUCUAUCAACCUCCUGUCAAACGCGGCUUUGACCUCUAAGUCGUGCAAUAGAAAUACAGCGGCUUCUUGCCCAAAGCUAGCUAGCGGAUUCAAGAAGUGUGUCUAAAAAUUUCUCUCUCCAUGGCAAGCACUUGCAGAUUAUGUGUUCUCGUUAUAGCAAGUGUAUUAUGGCUUGGUCUUUAUGGCUUGUUUGCCUAUGUAAUUUUUCUUGGAUUAAACCAUAUAACUAGUACAUUAAUUAUUAGGAAGAGCCAUGGUAUUCCGUCUGCCUGCGGUAACAUCCACAACAUAACCUAUCCCUUUCGACUGGACAACGAUCCAAAACCAAACAACUGUGCCGGCAGGCGAUGGUAUCUUGACCUCUCUUGCGACAAUAACCUCACAGUGUUACACUUAUAUUCCGGAAAGUUUUACGUGCAGGCAAUCAACUACGACAACCGCACAAUCCGUGUCGUGGAUGCCGGCAUUCGCAGCGACAAUUUCUCCUCCAUCCCCCAUUAUUCGCUGGCCCCUUACAACUUCAGCUCUUUCGAUUCGUGUUUUCCAUCACCAUCAACUACCACACCUGUAACUUUCUUCAAAUGUACAAAAGCAGUGAAUUCAUCUUCUAUGACGAGUACGUAUGAUUAUGUGAAGGGAGGCAAUAUAACGACGUCGGAUUUGGAGGAUGGGUGUAGAAUAGAAUGGACCACUAUGGUGAGUACGUCGUUGUACAGAAAGGACCGAAACGUUUCGUAUCAACACAUACACAACGCACUGGUGUAUGGCUUUGAGCUUCAAAUCAACGUUCGGCGCUUCGUGAUUACAGGUUUGUGAGUUACUUGCUAUAUUUCCAAGUCUAUACUUUUUGUACUCAAACUUUCUGAUUUCUCCAAAUUAUUUCACUUGUUUAGAUCUUUGACUUUUAAAUUUCCGCCUUAUUUCACCUUUUCGAGCAAGGUUCAUAUUUCUUUUUGUUUAAUUUUUAUUCAAAUAAGACAGAGAAAAUACACAAGGGAGGGGAGAAAAUGAGGAAAAUAGAUGAAAUAUUUCGAAAAUAAAAUUUUAAAAAUUUUAAAUGGUUUUGUCAUAUAAUUUUAAUUUUGUCUGGCAAAUUUAAUUCCCUUCCCUCUUCUUCACCUUCCUCAUCAUAUUAGGAACUUAGAACGAGAUUCUUUCAGUAUUUCAAGUUAGUUGAUGCUAAAAUAUUAAAACUAUGAGAGAAUAUUUGUUUGUGGGAAUUUUCUGUGUAUUCACUACUACAAAAAGUGAAAAAGACGACCAGAAAACAACGACGGUCUAAGUGAAAACCGUCGUGGUUUAUAAAAAGACGACGGUUCUAAAAACACCGUCGUGUAAUACAACCUUAGACAACUAAAAAAUGGAGUUUCAAAUGGCUGUUCAAAAACAACGACGUACAUAAUUAAACAACCGACGUCUAUUUGAAACAGAUUUCCUCAGUGUAAAAUCAAUGCCAACAAAGAACGGCAGAAGUUAUGAAUCGACCGACGUAGAAAGUAAAGACGACGAUUUCAAUAAAAACUGCCGUUUUUACUCAUAAAAUAACACGACGAGGUUUUCGUAUAAGACGCCGUAUAAUUACAAACAAAUCCACGGCUUUAAAAUACAAAAUAUCGCCGUAUUAAAUUAAUUUACAACGACGGAAAAUAUAAAUAUAUCGACGUCAUUCUCGUAUAGUUCUACUACGUUAUCUUUAAAUCGUACAAUAAAAUUUAUCGUCGUAUUUAUUCAUUUUAUACGUCGUACCUUUAAUUUUAACGGUCGUCUUAAUAAGAAUUUUUGUUAACAAUUUUUUUCUUUGAUUUUCUUAUCCUACGUCGGUAGAUCUACUUAAUGACAAGAAUUGAAAUAACCACGACGGUUUAUAUAGAACACCGCCGACAUAAUCAGUUUUGUCUGAGAUCCCAAGGGUUACGAAAUCUUACCAGAUGGAACUCUGUUCCACAUCAUAAUCUUAACAGAUGACACAGAUUUGCAAAUAUUGCGUCGUGUUAGUUUACAAAUUCUAGAACAUUAAUUUCCCUCAUUUUAAAUUUCCUCGGGAAAGAAAAAUCUAUUUAUCACGCUUUGGAAUUGAAAACUAAAACUGAAAGAAUACGGGAAAAAAAACUCCAUUUAUAAUUUAAAAUUAAAAUCCACGUCGGUUGUAGUACACUUAACGACGUUUAACAAAAUAAUCUACGUCGGUAAUUAUAAAUCUACCGCCAUCGUAACUUAAUAUAGACGACGAGAAAAGACGACGGUAGAACAGAAAACCGCCGUUGUUUCAGUUUCUUUAACAUAUCUUUCUGCAGGACUUGUGUAGUUCAAAGCAUUGACAAUGUCUUCAUCAUAUCUCCCAGAAACUACUGAUUCAAUUGCUCAUGCUUUAGAGGCCAUCUGAAGCCAUUUCUAUUCUUUAUCGCAUUCUUGAAACCCAUCUUCUUCUUCUGAAGCUCUACGGAUAAAGGAAGAGGCUAUCACAAUAAAUCCGACGGAUCUUCUUAGGCAAGAAAAUCAAGCAGAGGAUCAGGCACAUCUGAUCUUCAGAUUUCCCUGAGAAGCGAACUUUCCUUCGACAGCGAGUGGAGGCCAGGCUUGCAUCUCUUUUGAUGGAAAGCAAGGAGUAUUCAGAAGCACUAAGUGUCCUAUCAGGCUUGAUCAAGGAAGUGAGAAGGCUAGUUGACAAGCUUCUUCUUGUGGACAUAUAUUUGAUGCGAGUAAGCUCAAUUUCUCUUUGAGAAAACAUCCAAAUUAUUAUCUUUGAGACAUGAGAGACUGAGAGAGGAAGAACUUGGAACCUUAAAUGUAAACCGAAAAUGAAUGAAAGCGACAAAUUUAUAGAAUAAAUUUUUAAAACCAACGGCGGUCCUUACAAACAAACCGCCGUUUAAAUUGUAAAAUCAACGUCGGUAUGAUCGACGUAUAUUACAGAAAUCCACGUCGGUAAAUUAAUAAAAACGACGUGUUAAAUAAUAUACCAUGACGCGAGUUAUUACUUAUGUACUUUAAUUUUUGAGUUUACUACGACGGUACCUACAAACUACUGUCGUAUUUAUUUACCACGUCCGAAGUUAAAUGUACCGUCGUAUUUUGUAAUUUAUACGUCGUAGUUAUAUGUAACCGCCAUAUUAUUUUUUUGAAAUGGUUUUAUAUGUAAGCAACUUUUCGUCUACUUGACUUACACAUUUGUUGUUUUUAUAUUCUUAUUUUAUUUAAAUCUGUCAUCCAAAAAAGAAACUUUACAUAUUGCAGAAUAUUAAUUUCCUUCGUUUUAAAUUUCCUCCGGAAAAAAAACUCUAUUUAUAACGCACUGUAAUUGAAAAAUAAACUGAAAGGUCACGGGAAAAAAAAUUCUAUUCAUAAUUUAAAAAUUAAAAUCCACGUCGGUUAUAUUAAACCUAACGACGUUAAAUGAAAUGAUUCCACGUCGAAUGAAAAAUAUUGCGUCGUUUUAGUUAAAAACGACGUAGUUAAAUGUAACCGCCGUAUUAUUUUUUUGAAAUGGUUUUAUAUGUAAGCAACUUUUCGACUUACACAUGCACUGUUUCCAAACCCGAUUAAAAAUUUCAAUCUCCCAGAGAAACCUUUUCGUCUUUUUUCCUUGUCAGAGCAUUGUCAGAGUUUCUCAUCGUCUUCCUCUCGUCUUCUUCGUCGUCUCUGAACUUAAACAUCGAUCAUCUUCCUCUUGCUUUCAUUGCACGCAAAAGGUAAGCUUUCAUUUUCACUAUUUUGGUUACUGUUUUGCAUGCUCAUACGUUUUUUGUUUGAAAAAUCUUUUUACCUUUUUUCUGGCCAAAAUCAUUUUACUUCUUUCCAAGUUUGAUAAAAUAUACAGACAAAGAGAGAAAGUUUCCAACUUUGAAGACAACUACAUCAACUAAAUAAGACGACGGUAGACCACGACGGUUCGUCAGUUGUUCUAGCGUCGUCUGAAAAUUGACAAAGUUGUUUUUAAAAUAAUAGUCUUUUUUUAUAUGCUUGUUUAAUUGCAGGUUUGAUUUCGCUGAACAAUGGUUUUUGUUUUUCCCUUAUUUGAUAAAAUAUAAAGAAAAAGAAACUAGGGUUGGUAUCUAAUAUAGACGAUAAAAUAUAAAUAAUAGUUUACCACGACGGUGUAUUACUAUUGACGUCGUGUGAACAUAUAUACCACGACGUUAUAUAAAUAAUGGUUUUAAACAUUUAUUACGUCUGAGAUUAUUUCAUUGCGUCGUCUAAAAUCAUAUCAUACGUCGUAUUUUUUUAAUACCGUCGUUUGUGUUCUUAAUGUUUUCCUGAAAUAUUUUCACUUGCAGUUUUGUCUGUUAAAAUGGUUUCUCAACAACAAACUAAGGAUUCUGGCUCCAAGAAGCUUGGAAUGGUAGCUCCUCAAGAUAAGUCUUCGAAGGAGAUGAAGUCUUCGAAGAAGAUGAAGUUUGCUUCAUCAUCUGCUGAGACAGAACAAACCAGCCAGACAACAAUCUCAGAUGAUUCAAAGACUGGUCGAGGUAUGAGCACAAUGCCUCGUGUUGUGAAGAGAAAGCUUCAGAAACUGAGGCCAAUUGUUGAGUACAAUAAAAGGGGGAAAGGUGUUGGCCAAGCACAUAUUGAGAUGCAGUCGUAUAUUGGUGUGUUGGCACGCUCCAGGAUCCCACUUGUGGACAAGAAAUGGUCCCAAAUCCCCAAGGAUAUAAAGGAGCAGAUUUGGGAAGCAGUUGACAUGGCUUUUGUCGUAGGCCAAGGGGGCAAGACCUCUGUUUUAGCUUCUGCUUCCAAGAAAUGGAAGGAUUUCAAGUCUACACUAACGAGGCAUUAUAUCCUUCCAUACACCAAUGACAGGGAGAAAUUAAGCCAACCCCCUGAAACAUAUAAAUUCAUAGAGAAAGCACAAUGGGAUGCCUUUGUAGCUUCAAGGCUAUCCAAAGAUUUUGAGUCUGUGCAUUCUCAACAUGCACAGAUUAGGGAGAAACUCGAGUACAAUCAUCGAUUGUCUCGAAAAGGAUAUGCUGGAUUGGAGGAUCAAUUGGAGGAAACCAUGCCUGGGGUAGAAAUUGAUCGAUCUACCUUAUGGAAGAGAGCUAGACAGGACAAACAUGGUAACAUCCCUGAUCCAAAGGUGGCAGAGAAAGCAAAAUUAAUUGUAAGCCUACUAUCACUCUGUUUUAAAUUUUUAUUAAACUGUGAAUUAUUCUUAUUACGUCGUAUGUUAUAUUUUUCGUCGUGUGAAUGAUAUUACCACGUCGAAAAGUUUUUAAAAACGUCGUUAAAGGUCUAAAUAGGAAUCACUACUAUGUUUUCUGUAAUUACAGCAUAAGACGUCGGUGGUUCAUUUUCGCGUCGUGUGAAUGAUAUUACCACGUCGAAAAUUUUUUAAAAACGUCGUUAACGGUCUAAAUAGGAAUCACUACUCUGUUAUCUUUAAUUAUAGCAUAAGACGUCGGUUGUUUAUUCAUUUCGUCGUUUUAAAUAAAUAACCACGUCGGUAUAACUACCGUCGUGAUAAGUUAUAAUAACGUCGGUUUAUACGUUAUUGCGUCGUGUGAAAUUAUAUAAUACGUCGUUUGUACAUAAAUAACCGUCGUGUGUUUUUUUGUUUAUCUUUUUUUAGGAUGAAUUGCAGAAACAAGUCUCGGAAGGCAAAGUCAGAGUAGAUGGCAGCAAUGAUGUGCUGACCAUGGCUUUGGGCCCCGAGCAUCCAGGCAGACUGAGGGGAGUUGGUGCUGGUGUUUCCCCAAGGCAAUAUUUCAAUUUGCCCAAACCACAGAGGGUGAGCUUUGACGACCGUUUGAAGGACAGUUUAAGAGUUCUCCUUCAAGAAGAGACUAAAAAGAUGGAGGCUAAGGCAAGGGAAGAGGCCUUAAGGAUGGAGGCUAGGACAAAACAAUUGGUAGAGGCUGAGAGGGAGCAUUUCCUGAGUCAGCUUUCCCAAUUAAUUCCCAAUUUUGAUCCAAGCAUGCUUAAACCAAGAAUUAGCCAAAGCCCCAAAAAUCCAAUGUCUGACAAAGCUAGCUGCUCUGGAGGUGAUGUGAGAUCCCUACAUUUGGAGGAUGAUACUGCCAAAAUGGGGAAACAUCAGCCAGAUGAAGAGAAGGAAGAAGAAAAAAGAGAUGAAGAGAAGGAAGAAGAAAAGGAGAAAGAAGAUGAAGAAAAGCAUGACGACAAGGUAUGUUCACAUAACUUUGCCUUUUUUAUUUGUUUUUCAAAAUUUCAGACGUCGAUAUUUUUAUUUAAUCCGUCGUUUGUUUAAAACUUAGACGGCGGAAUUUUUUUAAGACGUAAUAAAAUAUUUAAACGACGGUUUUUGCACCGUCGUUUAAAUGGUUUCAGACGACGCUUUAUUCAUAAAACCGUCGUCUUUAUUGAAUUACCACGACAGUUUUUUCACCGUCGUUUAAAUACUUUUAAGACGACGUUUUAUUACUUAAACCGUCGUCUUUAUUGAAUUACCACGUCAUUUUUUUUAUUUCUUUAAACAGGUUAUUGAAGUUGGUGCUUAUUCAAAUAUGGAGGCGCCAUCUUCUUUAAAAACCCUUUGUCGUUUUGUGGAAACGACACUCCUGCCUGAGGAUAAGACACUCCAAUUUACAAUUGAUAAGGAGGUGUUUGGUGGUGAGCGCGAUACCUUCCUCCUGCCUGAAGAUAUUACACAAUUUGCAGGCAUGGAAGAAAUUGGAGCUACUGUAUUGGCUGUAUAUAUGAGGUUUGUACUUCUAAAAUAAUACCUCGUUGGUUUAUAUAUUGCGUCGUCUUAACUAACUAACCACGUCGUCUUAACUAACUACCGUCGUGAUAAAUAUAUUAUAACGUCCUCAUCUAUUUCAGUACGUCGUGUGAAAUAUUAUAAUACGUCGUUUUUUUAUACAUAACCGUCGUGUUUGUUUGUGCUGACUUGUUUAUAUUAUUUUAUGUAUUUAGGUACUUACACGAUGUUUUGAAACAAGCCAAUAUGUGCAGCAUGGUUGGCUUUAUUGACCCUGCUACAGUUAGUGCCAACUCUGGCACAAUAACUGAAAGAUCACGACUGGUAGCAGCUCGACUUCAGAAGACAGACGGUGAACAGCUUUUCAUGAUGCCUUACAAUCCAGGGUUAGUCUCCUUAGGAUUUUGUUUUUAUGAUUUUCAAUAAAUGACAGCUUAUAAACUAACCACGUCGGUGUUUUAUUUUAUUUAGUCGUUUGAAACUACUAACCACGUCGGUAUUUAUUUGUCGUCGUGAUAAAUAUAUAAUGUCGUCGUUAUCUACUUUAUUUCGUCGUGUGAAAUACUAUAAUACGUCGUUUUUGUAAAUAACCGUCGUUUUUAUAUUAAUUUUGUGCAGCCGUCAUUGGAUCCUGCUGAUUGUAAGAGCAAAGAAGGAGACCGUCUAUUUUCUGGAUCCUCUGCCAGGUCAUCGUGUGGUCGACGAAGAGGCGAAAAACAUCGUGAACAGUGCUUUAAAAAUAUAUAAUACCCACAUAGGCCGAGCAGGACGUAAAAAUGUAAUUUGGAAAACUCUCUCAGGCACACCAAAGCAACCCAGCAAUGUCGAAUGCGGGUAUUAUGUGAUGCGCUUCAUGAGGGACAUCAUCAUGGAUCCUUCCUUGGGGUUUGAGAAUAAGGUAAGAAGAAAUUACCUUCAUACAUUUCACGUCGUUUUUUGUAUUAUCAACGACGGUCAUGUAAAAUUAACGUCGUUGAAUGGAUAUACUACGUCGGUUAUGAAAAAUAUCGUCGUCUGUGAUUGAAUUUCUUUUUAUUUAUAAACCCUAAUAGUCAUUGUUUAUGCAGUAUGCCAAGGGAAACCAGGAAGCUUCAUACCCCCAAGAAGCCAUUGAUGAAGUCCGGAAUGAAUGGGCAGAGUUUGUUUUCCAAAUUAUUAAACAGGGCAAUUAUUGAACACUUGAUAUUUAUGUAUAAUGUACAAAUUUUCUCUAUAAUAUGUAAUGUAAAAAUUUGUUGAGGUUUUCUUAAAUUAAAAAAAAAACAAACAUACAAAUUGCUUAACCGACGUGUAAUACUUUUCCAACGACCUAAUAAAGUCACAAACCGUCGUAUUUUGUUGUUUCGUGUUUUAAACAAUUACGACGUAAAAAUAUAGUUAGACGACGUUCUUUGAACAAUUGAGUCGUUUAUGGUUUACAACAUCUUCAAUUUCUUAAGGGUUCAGGGUAUCAUCGACGACGUUUAUGUAACGACAGCGGUUAAGUCGUUGAUAUAUAUAUUUUACGUCGUAUAGUUAAAUAGCCGCCAUGGUUUCUCAUUUUAACGACGUCAUUUUAACGACUUAGUAGUCUAUUACAAUUUACAACGUCUACAAUUUAUUAACACCGACGUGGUUUGUUGUUGUGGUAAGAAUAUUUUAUUAUUUUUAUAUCAAAAUAUUCAAAAUAAAUUUAAAAUAAAUCAGAAAAUUGAAAAGUCAACUCCUAUGAAGUCAUUGAUAUAUUUUCUUCCACAUAAACCUUGAAAAAAUUCAUUUUGAAUAACAAAAAUUUAAAAUGACCAUCCAAAACAAAAUUGUUUUGAUGAGUCAUAAAAUCACUUCUAGUUUUAUGGUUUAGGGUUUAGAGUCUAGGGUUUAGAGAUUAGGGUUGUUAUUUAUUGGGGUUUAUUUUUAAAGUAUAAUUUUUGGGUAGUCUAGGGUAUAUGUUAGGCUUUAAAACCAUAAAACCUUUUAUAAACUUAAUUUUUUAAAUUGUAUAAUUUAAUUUUAUGGGUUUAGGGUAUUAAUUUUUAACGACGGUGGUUGGGUCGUGGAAUACAUAUUUUACGUCGUACAGUAAAACAUACGACAUGGUUUACGCUUUAAACGACGUCAUUUUAAUAUGUAAGUCGGUUUAUAUAAUUUACAACGUUUUUAAUUUCUUAACACCGACGUGGUUUCUCAUUUUAACGACGUCAUUUUAACGACUUAGUAGUCUAUUACAAUUUACAACGUCUACAAUUUAUUUAACACCGACGUGGUUUGUUGUAUGGUANNNNNNNNNNNNNNNNNNNNNNNNNNNNNNNNNNNNNNNNNNNNNNNNNNNNNNNNNNNNNNNNNNNNNNNNNNNNNNNNNNNNNNNNNNNNNNNNNNNNCGACGUUUUAUAACGCGCGCGCUCUAAAAAUUUUCGGCGACCUAAAUUUUUUUAGAUUUGGCUCUUAGUCUUAUACUUUGAUCCCUGAAACCUAAAAUUUCAGAUUUCACGCGACAUAACAUUUCGCUCUCUCACUUCUGCUCUAAUUAAAAGUUGCACUCUCCAGGCUCGUCGAAUCUGUGAGCUCGUCCAACCUGUAAGUACAAACCCUAUCUUCCCCUUGUAAAUUCAUUGAAUGAUAUUAGGUUGUUUUGUUAAAGGGUUUUAGGUAUAUGCUUUGCGAUCUGUUAAUAAUGUGCUUAUAGGUAUGGGUUCAUGGAUUUUCUGUUUAAUGGGUUCAUGACAAGAUCAAAUAAAGGUGUACUUUUGCUGGAAAUCAACACAAAAAGACACAUCACCAACUUCCAAAUGAUUUCCAGCAAAAGGACACCUUUAUUUGAUCUUGUCAUUUUCCGCUCUGGAGAAGGUGCAAAGUGCACCAAUGCUUAUAGGUAUGGGUUCAUGGAUUUUCUGUUUAAUGGGUUCAUGGAUUACAUUAUCUGUUAUGUUGAAUUGGGAAUGGAUUUAAUUUUGUCGUAUCUUUUAAUCACCCUAUGUUAUGUUGAAUUGGGAAUGGAUUUAUUGUUUUCAUGCUUGGUUUCAUGUAUAUGUUGGUUUCUUGCUUGGUUUCAUAUAUAUGUUGUGUUCUUAAUGGGUUUUGUGUUCUUGAAAAUAAACUGAGACACGACGAAUUUUAAGGCGUACGACGACGAUUACACGACGGUGUUUUUAAACUACCGUCGUUGUAUUACUUAUACACGACGGUUUUUUCAUAAACCGUCGUUUGUAUUACGUAUAAUAGACGACGUCUGUUGAAAAUCCGUCGUCUAUAUAUGCCAAAUACGUCUGUUUUUGAUUAAAACCCGUCGUCUCUGUUGUUUAUUACUUGCGAUUAGAUCAUUGUAUAAUCUGCUAUAGUGAUGGUCAUUGCCUGUAUUUUCACUUUAUUAUAGAUAAUAGGUUAUAGUGUCGGAGAUGGAUAAGUCAUGGAUGCACUCGGAUAGAAGAUCGAAGGCAUAUGAGUUUGGGGUGGAAGCAUUUUUGAACUUUGCUGUAGAAAAUCUUCUAACUACAACACAUAUCCGUUGUCCAUGUGUUAAAUGUGUUAAUUUGAAGUUGUUUGGGGUUGGAAUUAUAAGGGAUCACUUAUACUUUAAUGGAAUUGACCAAAGCUAUAAGAAUUGGACAUUUCACGGAGAACCUUGGGAAGCAACUACUAAUGCUAGCAGAAAUGUUGAAGAAGAUGAUGGCCAUAGUAGGUACAGUUUUGUGUCUGAAGAAAUUGAUAUGGAUGAUAAUGAUUUUGGUGAUUUUGGUUCGGAUCCGUAUGAGUUUGCCAAUGUGAUUGGGGAUGGAGAUCAACCAGUGUACCCUGGUUGUAGAAAGUACACGAAGUUAUCGGCAUUAGUGAAGUUGUAUAAUUUGAAGGCAAAACAUGGGAUGAGUGAUGUCUGUUUUACAGAAUUAUUGAUACUUCAAGGCGAUUUGCUUCCAGAAGGAAAUACAAUACCAACCUCCAUGUAUGAGGCUAAAAAGACUUUGUGUGCAUUGGGGCUGAGUUAUGAGAAAAUGCACGCAUGCCCCAAUGAUUGCAUCUUGUAUAGGAAGGAGUAUGAGGAUUCAACUAAUUGUCCUACUUGUGGUAUCUCAAGGUGGAAGGAAGGCAAAGAUGCAAUCUUGAAAGAGGGUGUGCCAGCGAAGGUGGUGUGGUAUUUUCCCCCAAUUCCAAGGUUUAAAAGGAUGUUUCAAUCACAUGAGACAGCUAAGAGUUUGACUUGGUGGCAUGUUGCUAGAAAAUCAAUUGACGGUCAGAUGUCUCAUCCGGCGGAUUCCCCGUCUUGGAAACUUCUUGAUGAUAAAUGGCCUGAGUUUGGUAAUGAGCCGAGAAACUUGAGAUUGGCUCUUUCAUCUGAUGGAUUCAAUCCCCACAGUUCUCUAAGUAGCAGAUAUAGUUGUUGGCCGGUUAUCUUAGUUACAUAUAAUCUCCCUCCAUGGCUGUGCAUGAAACGAAAGUUCAUGAUGUUAACCUUAUUGAUUUCCGGUCCUAAACAACCCGGAAAUGAUAUAGACGUCUACUUGGAGCCUUUGAUUGAUGAUUUAAAAUCCUUGUGGGUUGGGAUUAGAGGAGUGUAUGAUGCACAUAAUGGAGAAUACUUUACACUCAGAGCUGCAUUAAUGUGGACAAUUAAUGAUUUCCCCGCCUAUGGAAACUUAUCUGGUUGUGUUGUUAAAGGAUAUAAAGCUUGUCCAAUAUGCGGCGAUGAUACACCUAGUCACAGGUUGAAAAAUGGCCACAAAAUUUGUUACAUUGGGCAUAGAAAAUGGUUACCAAUCAAUCAUCCAUAUAGGAGGCAACGUGCAGCUUUUAAUGGGAAACCUGAAUAUGGCAUACCUCCAGAGCCAUUAACCGGAGAAGAAGUGCUGCAUAUGGUUGAAAAUGGUGACAGAGUUUGUUGGAAGAAGAAAUCAAUAUUCUUUGAUCUCGAGUAUUGGAAAUACCUUCCUGUGAGGCAUGCCCUAGAUGUUAUGCACAUUGAGAAGAAUGUUUGCGAUAGUAUCAUUGGUACAUUGCUGGAGAUCCCUGGAAAAAAUAAAGAUGGGAUUGCUGCUCGAUUAGAUUUAUUGAACAUGGGGGUCAAAACUGAUUUGCAACCCGAGUAUGGAGAAAGACGUACUCGUUUGCCUCCUGGGCCUUGGAAUUUGUCAAGAGCAGAGAAGAGAGAGGUUUGCAAUUCUUUCUAUGGUAUGAAGGUCCCUGAAGGUUAUUCUUCAAAUAUUAAAAAUCUUGUAUCUGUACAAGAUUCAAGACUUCUUGGCCUUAAAUCACAUGAUUGUCAUACCUUAAUGCAACAAUUGCUCCCUGUGGCAAUUCGUUCUGUUUUGGAGAAGCCUGCAAGGUAUGCAAUAACUCGUUUGUGCUUCUUCUUCAAUGCUAUAUGUGCAAAGACUGUUGAUGUUUCCAAGCUAGAUAAGUUGGAAGAAGAUGUAGUAGUUACUCUGUGUUUGCUUGAGAAGUACUUUCCCCCUUCAUUCUUUGAUAUCAUGGUUCAUCUAGUAGUACAUCUUGUCAGAGAAGUUCGUCUAUGUGGGCCAGUAUAUUUUAGGUGGAUGUAUCCGUUUGAAAGAUAUAUGAAAGUGCUGAAGGGGUAUGUUCAGAAUCGUACUCGUCCCGAAGGUUGCAUUGCUGAGCGGUAUAUAGCUGAAGAAGCGGUAGAGUUUUGUACUCAGCAUUUAUCUGAUGUUAGUACAGUUGGAGUGCCUUCAAGCCAAAAGAUGGGAGUUUCAAAGCCAUUAUCAGGUUGCACAGUGAGCGUAGUUGAUCAGGACCUGUUGAAUCAAGCACAUCUAUAUGUCUUGGAGAAUACGGAGGAAGUCCUACCUUAUAUCGAGUACGUAUGAGUUUUAUUCUUUAAGUUUCCAUUUAAAAUUAUUUCUUAUGUUUAUCUUAUAUAUUUGGGACCGUAAUGCUUGAAUUUUUCGUGUCAUGUAGGCAACAUAUGAUCCACAUCAAGACUGCUUAUCCAAAAUUUAGAAAGAGAACAAAGUGGCUGCAGGAUAAGCACAAUAGCACUUUCAUUCAAUGGCUACGCUUCAAGGUAUAUGUUGUUGAAUAACGUAUUUCUCUUUUAAUUUUCUUCUUAUUUAUAUGUUAGGAUGAAUUAAGAUAUGAUUAAUUUGCAGGUUCAAAGUGAAGUUGAGGAAGACAAUCAUGGCGUAUCAGAAAAUUUAAGGUGGCUAGCAGCUGGUCCAAACAUGUCAGUGCCAUUAUAUAGGAGCUAUCUUAUUAAAGGUAUUAAAUUCAAUAUCAAGGCACAAGAUGAUGUGCGGACAACUCAAAAUAGUGGAGUUUAUUUACUUGCACAUACCAUGCAAGUUGCUAGUGCCAAGGAUAAAAACUCAAUUCUCUCAAAUAUGGGUUUCUAUGGUGUCAUUCAAGAAAUUUGGGACCUUGACUACCAAAAGUUUACAAUCCCAGUCUUUAGGUGUGAUUGGAUAGAUAGUUCUGGUCUUGUAGUCGACGAACUUGGAUUUACCCUUGUAGAUUUGAGUAAAAUUGGACAUAGGAAUGACCAAUUUGUUUUGGCUUCUCAAGUCAAACAAAUAUUUUUUGUUGACGACCCGAUGCAUCGUGGUUGGUCGGUAGUGUUAUCAAUGCCUAGUAGAGAAUAUAAUGAUGUUAUUGGUGAUGAAGUAUUAGGUGAUGUGAUAAUUGAGUGUGAGCCAUUUACUAGAGGGAUGCCAAAUGUUGACACAUUUGAUGAACUGGUAGGUGAGUUAGGCGGUCAAAAUAUUCGAGAUGGGUGUGAAGAUAUAUGGAUUGAAUGAUGCUUAUGUAAUUGGCAGUGUAUGACAUUAAUUUUGUAAUAUAUUGUAAUGUGAUUUCUUCACUUUCUACGUUCAAAUAAAACACGACGUUAUUGUGAAUCAGUUAUUCAGCAUAUUUACCGACGUCUUAAAGCAACGUAACAAUGAAGAACCACGACGCUAUUGUGAAGCAAUUAUUCAGGAUAUCACGUCGGUGAAGGAUAAAGAACCGCCAUGUAAUUCAAAAUAACACGACUCCAAUCCCAUAAUACCGACGUCUAAAAAACGAGAUAUGUAAUCUGAACGUUAAAAAAUACGACGUCAUCAUACAUUUUCCACGUCGCAAGUUCUUUUAUAAACGAAGAGGAACGAAAUUAAUUCCGACGGAAAUUCAUUAUAACCGCCGUCUAAUAACAAUUAAACGACGUUAUUUGUAAUACGGCUCCCAUCAUAAUCUACGCCGUCUAUAUGUUCUGUAAUACGGCUCUCAUUUAUUUGGAACCGACGUUGUUUAGACGUUCAACGUCGUCUAUAUUAUUAAGUGCGUCGUGAGUAAUGAAUACAUAUAAAUACAACGUCGACUAUAUAAAUGUAUACGUCGUAAAUAAUGACACUGACAACUAUUUCCACGUCAUCUUUUUUAGAUAAAAUCGAAGUGGAAAAUUUAUUUCACGACGGUUUUUUGUAAAUAAGAGACGUUGUAGAACUUUAGCAGACUAAACACGUCUGUUUUUAUUGUUUUCCGACGUUGUUGUAUUUAACAACGUCUAAUAUUUAUGGUCGUUGUUUGUUUCUGAAAAUAGGACGUAUAAAUUUUUUAAUACGACUCUCAUAUAUUUGUAACUGACGUUGUUUAGUUUUUCAACGUCUACUAUAGAAACACAUACGUCGUAAAUAAUGACACUGACAACUAUUUCCACGUCAUCUUUUAUCAAAAAAUCGAAGUGGAAAAUUAAUUGUACGACGGUUGUGUUUAUAUGUGCGACGUAGUAGGUAUCAAUAACGUCGUCUUCUAAUGUAUUUAAAGACGUCAUAUUUUUUAUUGUCGUGAAAAUUAUAUUUAACGUCGGCGUAUUUUUAUUGUCGUCGUUGUAUGUCUAUCUUGCGGCCUUGUUCUCUUAAUAUGUGUCAUAUUUUCCCUUUUUAACGACGGUCUUUUUAGAGAAUUGGUCGUCUAUUAUCAUCAUCGAUUGCUUUUUUUAGAUCUUUUUGCAGUACAAAGACGUCGUUUUGUAUUUUUUGAUGACGUUGUAUUGUUUAACAACGACGGUUAUUUAGCGUCGUGGUUUAUGAGGGAAAAGAUGACGGUGGAUUCCACGACCAUUGAAAAACCAAAUACACGACGGUGAUUUACCGUCGUCUUUUUGCUUUUUUGUAGUAGUGAUUCUUCUUCUUGUAGGAGGUCAUAUUUAUAAUACAACGAAACCUAAAUGGGCAAGUAAAUAAUAAAUUCCUAAAUCUAUUUACAGUAGGAAAUCAGGAAUUAAAGUAAAUCAAUUAUAAUUAUAAUAGGAAUUCUUGGUGUGUAAGGAAAGUAAGUCAAUAUCCACAAGUCACGCCAACACUCCCCCUCACGUUGGUGCAUAGAUGUCGCCAAUGCCCAACUGAUCCAGUGAAUUGUGGAAUGCUUUACUGGAAAUCGCCUUUGUCAAAAUAUCCGCCAAUUGAUCCUCGGAUUUCACAAAAUGCGCAAUCUGGUCCAUAUGUCGGGGUCGUUAGUCGAGAAGUCAUAAUCUGUGCAGCGGAAGAUGCAUAGGAUACAGUUGAGUAGGAAUUAGGAUCGGAAUCUGAGCCUGAGUCGAGGCCUGAGUCGGGGUCGGAGUCGGAGUCAAAAUCGAGAUCGGGGUCUGAAUCAUAGACAAAUUCGAGGUUGGGGUCAUCAUCGGAGUGGGGGUCGGGGUCGUCUUCGGAGUCGGGGUCAGGGUCGUCGUCGUCAUAGUCGGGGUCGGGGUCGGGGUCGUCAAAAGAGGAUCCUGAUUCUGGAUCGGGGUCUGAAUCAUAGACAAAUUCGGGGUUGGGGUCAUCAUCGGAGUGCGGGUCGGGGUCGUCUUCGGAGUCGGGGUCGGGGUCGUCGUCGUCAUAGUCGGGGUCGGGGUCGAGGUUGUUAAAAGAGGAUCCUGAUUCUAGAUCGGGUUCGGGGUCAAAGUCUGCAUCUGUAGGGGCGGAGCCAUCUAGGCACUCAACUCAACGAUGGUUGAUUGAGAAUGAGAGAAGGAGUCGGUGGUGCUACCUCCAUGAGGGUUGAAAAAAUCAUCAACCCCCAUAACACUAAAUAAAAUAAUCUCUAUUACAAUAGGACAAAAUAUAAUUGGUAAGUAACCAAAAUUCUAAUGAAAUAAGGACUCGCCAACACUCCCCCUCAAGUUGGGCAAAGAUAUUUCGCAGGCCCAACUUGACAAGCGAGUCACAGGACACCAUACUUGAGAAACACCAAUUGUAGAGAAGAUCUUUUAGUCAACCACGAGUGAAACAAGUGACAAACUAAAACAAAGUUCACAGCGGAAACACAAGAGCAAACCCUAAAAAAUAGGGCACAUAGCAAAAUAUUAAAACUAUGAGAGAAUAUUUGUUUGUGGGAAUUUUCUGUGUAUUCUUCUUCUUGUAGGAGGUCAUAUUUAUAAUACAACGAAACCUAAAUGGGCAAGUAAAUAAUAAAUUCCUAAAUCUAUUUACAGUAGGAAAUCAGGAAUUAAAGUAAAUCAAUUAUAAUUAUAAUAGGAAUUCUUGGUGUGUAAGGAAAGUAAGUCAAUAUCCACAAGUCACGCCAAUAGUUGAUGGAAACGGAAAAUCCAGUUAUAUAUACCACGUUAUGAGUGGAGAACAAACAACUUUUUUUUACCCCCCAAAAAAAAAACAAUGAACUUUCGAAAACAGUUAUACCACAUUCUUUUCAAUUCAUUAGGUCUCAAACUUUCAGUGAUCUAUUUGAAACUCACAAGAAUUAAUGAAAAUGAGAAAUUGCUUUCUUCCCAAAUCAACUUCUUUCUCAAAUCUACGUGAUGGCAAGUCUUGGUUUAAAUUGGUUUUUUUAAUUAGUAUAUACACCAACGUUUGCUCACCAAAAGAUGUCUCAGUCUAUCAUUUUUCCAAAUAUUGACCCACCAUUAACUUUAUUUAUUUUUAAAAUGGGAAUAGUUUACAAAUAAACUUGUUAAAAAAAAGUUCGUAUAUCUAUUAUGUUGAUCUGUUUUUUUUUCAUUGAAUAAAAGUGAUAGUCUAAAUUACAAAGGGAUGGGCAUAAUACGUACACCAAGAUGUUAUAAGGGUUCAAACAUGAAAUCACUGGUCUGCAAAUUAAGGCCCUUGUCCACUGAACUAAACCAUUGACAUUGUUGAUCUGUUUUUUGUUUGGAAAAUGCUAGGGAGACCAACUUUAGAUACCAACUUGUGUACCAUCUCUCUAAUAGAGCGUGAGACCCAUUGUAUUAGUAGACUUCACCUCUAUUAGAAAGAUGGUACACAAGUUGGUAUCUAAAGUUGAUCUCUCUAGCAUGACCCAUCAACCAUUGCAUCAAGUUGAUACAAUAUAUAUAUGUGAGCUUGGAAAUUUCCAACUUAUGUCAAGUCUUUUAUUUUGCUCACUUUUUCUAUUAUGUCUUUCUUGCAGAUGAUCACAUGAUCGGACUGGGUAAGAGGUUACGUAUUCCUUAAGUGUAGGUUUGACAGCAGUGGAUCAAUAAUCCAAUCCCUACUUUUAAAAAAAGCAGUGGAUCAACCAUUUUCUUUUUAUCAUGAUUCUUUUUGUGAUGUUGCUUCGCAGGAGAAUUUUUCCCUGUAAGAUCUAUGCUUGGGUUUCCAUUUCUGGCUGCUCUUAUAAUCUACAAAUGGCGUAGAAGGCAUUUGUCCAUGUAUAACACCAUCGAAGAAUUUCUACAAAGCGAUAACAACUUCAUUCCAAUACGAUACUCAUACUCAGACAUUAAGAUGAUGACCAAUAGAUUCAGUGAAAAACUAGGUGAAGGAGGAUAUGGCUGUGUAUUUAAAGGAAAGUUACGAAGUGGCCGUUUUGUAGCAGUUAAGAUCUUGGGGAAGUCUAAAGCUAACGGACAAGAUUUCAUCAGUGAGCUAGCCACAAUUGGGAGGAUUCACCAUGCUAAUAUUGUUAAUCUUGUUGGUUAUUGUGUUGAGGGAUCAAAUCGUGCCCUUAUUUAUAACUUCAUGCCUAAGGGGUCUCUUGAUAAAUAUAUUUACUCAAAAGAAAGAAGCAUCUCCUUAAGUUGCAGGAAAAUGUAUGAAAUUUCUCUUGGAGUGGCUCAAGGGAUCGAAUAUCUACAUCGAGGUUGUGACAUGCAAAUUCUACAUUUUGACAUCAAGCCUCACAAUAUUCUUCUGGAUGAGAAUUUCAUCCCAAAGAUUUCUGACUUCGGGCUUGCAAAGCUAUAUCCGGUAGGUAAUACCAUCGUCUCUUUGACGGCAGCAAGAGGAACAAUGGGAUACAUGGCUCCUGAGUUGUUUUACAAAAAUAUUGGAGGUGUCUCAUACAAAGCUGAUGUCUAUAGUUUUGGAAUGUUGUUGAUGGAAAUGGCAAGUAGAAGGAAGAAUUUGAACGCAUCCAUAGAGCAUUCAAGCCAAAUUUAUUUUCCUCGUUGGGUCUCAGACCAAUUUUGCAUGGGCAAAGAGUUUGAGAUGGAUGAUGCUACAGAAGAGGAAAAGAAAAUAAUAAAAAAGAUUAUUAUAACUGCUUUAUGGUGUAUACAAUUGAAGCCAAGCGAUCGUCCUUCGAUGAACAAAGUUAUAGAGAUGCUUGAGGGAGAGGUUGAAUGCUUGCAGCUCCCUCCCAAGCUUCUUUUAUAUCCACAACAAGAGAUGCCCAGAGACAAUCUUCAUGGUAAUUCGAAUCCAAUGUGUUCUAAAACAGAGCUAACAUGUAGUACUCUGUCAGCUAGGUGAUGAGUAAGACUCAAUUAGAGUUUCAACUUUAAUUUCGGUUUUAUUAUUAUUUAAGCUAAUAAGGGAAAUAUAUGGGUUCAAGUUGCAUACAUUAAAAAUACGUUUUUAUUUUGAACAAAUACUUAUGUAGUUGUGCUCCUCUGCCACCACAAGCAUCACCAUCGUUGUCACUAUCACUACCACCAACAUUGAGUCAUAUCUCAUAUACAGUUUUUUUUUUUUUUUUUUUUUUUUUUUGGUUUGAAAAAUGCUAAGGAGACCACCUUUAGCAAAAAAUUUACCUGUAACGGGGGAUAGCAAUAUUUUGCUAUCCCCAAUCAAUAACACAAUGACCCGUAGAAAGGCUAUCAUACGUUUUAUUACAUUAUUGGUUGGGAAUAGCAAAAAGUAUUAUCCCGUUACAUAAGAGUUUUCCCUCCAUCUUUAGAGAGACCAACUUGUGUAUCAUCUCUCUAAUAGAGAUGAGACCCAUAGUAUUGGUGGGCUCUACCUUCAUUAGAGAGAUGAUACAUAAAAGAUGUUUUUAUAAAAAUAAAAUUUAAAUAUUGUAUUUAAAUGUCAUUUUGAAUUCGCACGCUUGGUGAAGAAAUGGUUGAGUAUGCGCUACCAAUCCUUUCUUUGCAGUUAAACUAGUGAAUCUUGAGUGCUUUGAUUCUUAUGUCGACGGUGAACUGCCCAAGCAUGGCUUUCUUCAACAAGUUGGCUCAGUAGAGACUGAGAGUUCAAAUGCAGUUGCUCAACCUUUCUUUGUUGCCUGACUCCUUCCCAAUUGUCGAAGUCAACUUGGGUUUCGAUUUGGGCAUGUGGUCACGCCUUUACCCGGAUAAAAGUACCUUUUGAAUUAUUGGCAAGGGUUUCUUACUUUAGAAAGUCAAAUCUCUGGGCUUGUUUCUGGUUUGACUUGAGCUUCCAUUGUUAAGUCUUUCUAUUUAUGAAUUUAAGCGGCCCAAAGCCCAUUUGUACUUAAAAAAAACCCCUUAAUGGGUUUUUUUCCAUUUUAGGCAUGACCCUUAGAAUUUAAACAAUAUUAAUGUUAUUUAUCUAUAUAUAUAAAGCAAAAGGCAGAGAAUGGUGAAACAUUCAAAAUGCAAGAAAAUGCCCUUCGUUAAUGCAAACAUUAAGAAUUGAAAUUAUUAAUUAAAUGAGGAUAAUAUGGUAAAUUCACACUUUUUCAUAUUUAAAAAUAUUAAACUUAAAAGAAAAAUCAUAUAAUGUAUCCUAUUUUUAUGGAACACAACUACCUAUUAUCUUUUUUAAUUCUAAAAUAAAUUUUAAAUUUUAAAUUUUGAAAAAAAAAAAAAAAAAACUCUCGUAGGCUCGAAAGCGCGUGCACAGAGGCUAGUAAUAAAUAAUAGCCACUUAAGGUUGGCAACAACUACCAAUCAUCAAUGCUUAUUGUUACUGCCACUUGUAGAGGAGUUGUGAUGGCCAGGAAAUCUAGGAUUAGGAAAAUGGGAAAUUUGAGGAAUACAUUUAGGAAGAAGAGUACAUCUAAGAUAAGGAGUGAAAGGAAUGGGAGCUUUAGGCAUUCGAGGUUUAGGAAUGUGAGCUAGGCAAAUCCAGAAUUUUUACUUUCAAGGGUCAACACGUAAAGUGUCACAAAUAUUUUUUUUAGACAAAACUGACCUGUAAAAGGACAUAUAAAAUCAACACUAAUUUACUAUUUGCAAUUAGUCCUAUUAAGGACCUUAGCAUAUAAAAAAUAUGCUUUAAAAUAGGCUCAUAAUCAAUUUAUGCAGUCCCGAUCUCUUGGACCACAGGAGUCCAAGAGAUUGUGGUCACUUACCGUUGGAUAUUAAUCCAAUGGUUCAAAAAAGUUUCUUAAAAGAAGUGCAAGAGUUAGUGAACCGUUGAAUUUACAUCCAACGGUGAGUGACCACAAAUCUCUUGGACCCCUGUAGUCUAAGAGAUCAUGACUGUCAAUUUAUGUUAGCAAUUGUUUGUAUUGCUAGUUAAGAUUAUUAUGUCUUGCUAUAAUAACUUUUAUAUACAUCAUAAAGCCAGCAAAAUUAUUUGGCUGGGUAGGGUUUGCGUUGGAGAAUUGAGUUGCUAAGUUGAACCAGUAAGCCCAUUUCGGCCCGGCUAGUAAGCCCAUUUUGGCCCGGCCAGUAAGCCCAGUAAGCCCAGCCCAGUCAGGCUCAUUUUUUUAAGGGUUUAGGCUGGUAGCAGGCCACCAAAUAUUCAAAGCUUUUCCUACAUGAUUUGAGGCACCACUUCCCUCUUUGUCACCUGCUUUUUGACAAAGAAGGCAUGUGCCAUCAUUUCCCCGCAAAGCCCACGAAAUUGCCACAAGGUAGAAGCCAUAAAGUGGCUCUCACACACUUAACUAAACAAUAAUUUUGACCAAUAUUCAACAAAGAAUCUUCAACAUGCCAUUGUCCCCCACUUUCAAUUCAGAGCAUGGAAUUGGCCUUCGCGUCAAUGAUCACUUGGAAGAAAUUCAUUGGCAAUAUGCAAAACGGGUCCAAGGGAUUUGGCAUAUAUCUAUCAAGCUCCUGUCAAACGCGGCUUUGAGCUCCAAGUCGUCGUGACAAUAGAAUUGCAGCAGCUGCUUGACCAAAGCUUGCUAGCGGAUUGAAGAAGUGUGUCUGAAAAUUUAUCUCUCCAUGGCAAGCACUUGCAGAUUAUGUGUUCUCGUUAUAGUAAGUGUAUUACUGUUUGGUCCAGCUGCCUUUUUUUCCUUUUUCCUUUUUGUCCCAUUUAGCCGUAUAUCUAUUCCAUCAAUUACGAAGAGCCAUGGUAAGUGCAUCCCGUCCGCCUGCGGGAACAUCCACAACAUAAUCAGCCCUUUCCGACUAGCCAACUAUCCAAAUCAAAGCAAGUGCACAAACUGGAAUUACCACUACCUCUUUUGUCACAACAACCUCACAGUAUUGACAGUAGAUUGGGGAAACUACUCUGUGCAGGCAAUCAACUAUGACAACUUCACAAUCCGAGUUGUAGAUCCUGGCAUUCGCAACAAUGAUUUCUCCUCCAUCCCCCGUUAUUCGCUUUCCAUUUACAACUUAACUUAUAGUCAUCUUCGAUUAACCUCAAGUACAACACCUAUAACUUUCUUCAAGUGUGCAAAAGCAGAGAACUCGUCUGUAAUGAGAACAUAUAAUUAUGUCAAGCAAGGGAAUAUAACGGCAUCAGAUAUGGAGGACGGGUGCAGAAUAGAGUGGACG
This 57216-nucleotide long non-coding RNA is filed under the name Prunus persica (peach). Its description in RNAcentral is "long non-coding RNA (PPER_LNC002476)". Lineage: Eukaryota; Viridiplantae; Streptophyta; Magnoliopsida; Rosales; Rosaceae. The record is from RNAcentral.